RNAcentral lists this long non-coding RNA (54460 nucleotides) under Triticum aestivum (bread wheat). Its description in RNAcentral is "long non-coding RNA (TAES_LNC012360)". The stretch from base 35035 to 35121 matches the Rfam family "MIR1120/MIR1122 microRNA precursor family". Lineage: Eukaryota; Viridiplantae; Streptophyta; Magnoliopsida; Poales; Poaceae. The record is from RNAcentral.
CGUCGGCACCUGACGGGCGGGCCCCGCUAGUCAGAUACACCGUCAAUACGUGUUUAUACGCAGUUUAGACCUAUUUGCAAAAAUCUAGAGCAAUGUUGGUACUGACACGCAAAAAUUAGCAAUCGUGAUACCAAUCUGCAUGUGAUGCCCCAAUUGUGGUACUUCUGUGCAAUUAACUCCAUGAAAGUCACCUGAAACAUGAGAACUGGUUCAUUUUAGCUAUCUUUUCAGUUCUGUGUGAAGAAUAUCAUAUCAUCCGUGUGAUGGUAUUCUAUACCUAGUAAUGAAGCAAGGUGCGUUUCUUCAAUUUUUUCAUCCGUUCAUCUUCAAAAGUACUUUUUGUUUCUAUCCGAGGUGGUACUAAACUUUUAUGCAUCUAUCCGCUAGGAAAGAAAAAAGGUUUGUCCAGAAUUCCGUAAUUGGGCCGCGCACGCUCCGGCCCAAUGAAGCCAACGCACUUAUUAUUGCCCACGUAGUUGGGAAGACCUUAUUUGUUGUAUUGAGCGAUGAAUAGUUGAAGCUGCCCACAGGACGCCUAAAACUGGGUCGGCCCGUUAACUAUUAUAAAAAAUCAUGUUUUGAAAUUUUCUCAUUUUUUAAUUUUUUUUGUGUUUUUCAAAAUUUCUUAGAUAUUUUUUAAUAAAAACUACAUUUUAUAAAGUGUUCCAUAUAUAAAACUAUUCCUGUUUUACUGACAUGUUCACAAAAAAUAUAAAAUAAUAUUUUUGUCUAAGAAAACAUUUUCUAGAAUUGUUUUGAAUGUUCCCCUUUUAAAAAGAUAAAACAAUUCAAAAAUAUUUGUGUGUUUAUAAAAUUAUCAUGUUUUCAAAAUAUUGUUUAUGAAUUUCAGAAACUAUUAAUGUUUCUAAUUUUUGUGUUUUUCCAAAAAUAUUGGAUCUUUCAAAAAAAAUUGUCGCAUCUUUUGAAAAUUGUUUGGGAUUUAUUAAAUUGUUCACGUUUCCAAGAAUAUUCGCCAAUUCAUAUUUACGUUGAAUGUUCAAAAAAAACUAAGAAAUAUUUCUAAUAUUACGCUAUAGUAUUUUCUUUAAUAUUUGCGCUCGCCAUUGGUUGGCGGUGCAUGGUCGUUCUGUGCUGGUUGACUAUAAAUGAAAGAAAUUAUGGGCACAUGCCAAUAAAAGAGAAUAUGUUGUUUGGCUUUAAUUAGAGUAAAAUAAUGGGCACUUGAGCACUAAAAUAAUCAAAGAGAAUAAACCCUCAAACAGAAGGCCCCUGGGAUGCCCUUUGGCAGGUCUCAGCUCUAGGCCCCCAAGACCACGGCUCACACAAUGUUGGUACCACCACACAUGUUGAACCAAUAGAUGUUGGUAUUUUGAUCUUGCUCUGUUGACCAGGAGUACGAUGUAAUGUAUGUAGGUGUCUUCAGGAUCAGUGGCAAAAUAUGCCGAGAAGAACGUGUGCACGGUGAGUUAAAAGAUUCAGAUAUGGUCUUUUUUUUAAUCUCUGUAGUUCUCCUUGUGCUGUUUCUCAUAGAUUUUUCAGUUUUACCUUUGUUCCCAUAUGGCUGCAAGCACCCUUAAUCGCAAAAGCUAGCUACAUCGAUGCGCCGCCGCCGAGGACAACGCCCGGCCCGCAACCGAGGUCUUCCACAUAUAGGAUUUGUGGAACAGCAGGGGCAGCACUACGACAGCUACUGUCUUGCUGCAGUGAUGCGGGCUGGAGCGAGCUGGGUUGCACGCGGUGACGAGAGCAUUGUAUAUGUCCGUUCCUCCACCUUCAACAUGUCGAUUGCAGGUGAGGACUUCUUCUUUUUUCCUUCUCCCUUUUUUCAUGCAAGUGUAGAACUUAUUGUACGAUUUAGUUUUUGCCUACAUAUAGAUGAUUCAGAUGUUAACGUUGAAGAAAAGAUCGACAUUGGUAUCCCCAGAAUAUUGCAGGAGGGCGUGUGUGCUCAUCUAAAAAAUAUGAUUACCUAAAUAGCUAAUAGUUAAUUCUACCUUUGUGAAUUUGCAGAAUGUUGAAUGCUAUUGGGUGGCAUUUCUCAUCAUGACAUUUAAUUAGAGGAUAUUUGUUAUCAAGCGACGUCAAUGUCUCGGGUAUAGAUAGUUCUGUUUUGAGGAAGAUGAUGUGCAACCACUGAAGAAAAUAUAUUAGGAUGGAACUCCAAUGAUUUUGUGGAUCACUAUGUAUAGUUUUUUGUGGCCUAUAAAGCAGAGGUCCGGCGUGUCAAAACAGAAGUUUCCAUGACUUGCUACUUUAUAAAAUUUAGGCGCCCCUAUAGUGUUGUUGAUGAAUUGAAUUUUUUCACCCAAAAAGGUUGAAAUCAACUGCUUUGCAUACACAAUUAAAUAGUGAGUAUCACGUUUUAUUAGCAAAAUUUAAUAGUUCAUACACAAUUAGGAAGUAGAAUUGUAAAGAUAAGGUCAGAGGCAUACCAACACAAUGCUCUGUUUAGUGAAGCUACAAAACCCACCAUCAUAACUGAUAAUUCCGUGCUGUACUGCUUGGUGAAUAUUUAUUCUGUUUCAGUGCUGACUAAUUGGCCCUUUGCUGAUCGAUAUGGUUCCCUUUGAAUGGCAUGAAGGAGGAAUAAGGGUUGCUUCUCACUCCCUUUUGGUCUGUUCUAGCGUGGAUGGAGGGUGACCCAGGCCUGUCCGACCAAAGGUGGCCGGUGAGCCUCUUGGUCUGUGCAGGUAAAAUUUCUCACUCCCUUUUAUCUUUUCGCGACUUCUUCUUUUGGGGCCUGCUGAAUUAGUUUGCUUGGUGCAAUUGAGAAAAUAAGAUGACCUGAUGAGGUGAGAAAAAAACAUGCAAUGGGGGCAUGCCGAAUUGGUGGAGUUGAAGCAUGUGUCCUGCUUACACCAUCUUAGGAACAUGGCAGAGGAAGGUGUUGAUUAAUUGGUAGGCAAAUUAAGCGUUUCAUGGGAAUCCUCGGUUAAUCUAACAUGAAGGAUGGAGCGUUUCUAUGGUUGUGAAGUUUUCUCGUAGCAAGUUGAAUGAAGAGCAUUUACGUCUAACAUAAAGCUUCAUAUAAUGGAUCAUGUUUGCCCUGUCCAGUUACUUAACUUCUAAUAACAUUGGGCCUGUAAGGAAGUGCUUAUCUUAUAAGUAAAUAUACUCGUGCUUGAUUUGCAUUGUUGAUUGACAAUAUGGUCUGUACUGAACCAUUAAAAAUACCUGGCUUCCUGACCUCAGACCCAAAAUAUGCUCUCUGUUGCUAUUGUUUUUCCCAAUUAAUUGUACAAUUACUCCUUUUAUUUAGUGAUGUAUUCCUCAUAUGCUUAACUAUCUCUUUUUUUGACAUUGAAGAUCAUUUAGAGUAAUUCAUUUUCGUACAUCCUGAAAUUCAGCGAAUGGACAUCAAAUAUAUUACAUUAGAUGAUGGGGGGAAACUGUAGUUGCAGUGCUUCACUUCUGCAACAAUGGACUCCCCGAAGUGCCAACACCUUUACAUGGAUAUUCAGGAUAUUUUUGAAGGUUAGAAUAUGAAAGUAGAACAACAAGUUCCAUUACUUUGGGAAAAGUGCCCGGCCCUGAAUGAUGCCUUAAUGCGACCUUUAAGUUUCAGGUACAUCAUUCUAUUCUUCUCUAUUGCGCCAUGUGCUCCACACGUGUACCUUAUGAUUCAGGAGUUUCCGGUGACAAAAUGUGUUAUAUUUGUAGAGUCGAUGCUUUAGGAGAUGGAAGAGCAGCUGCCCACGCAAUGGUUUCCAGUUAUAAACCAAGCUGUUUAAAAAUGAUCAAGUAAAGAAAGAAAUAUUUCAUGAUUGUACCUAUUUCCUUUGUGGGAUUUAAAGGGUUACUAGCUAGCUACAAUUGGACACUUCAUUUGUUUGCUUUUGAACUAAGUUUGAUAAGGCCUAUGAAGUCCUGUAAAAAGGAUUCUUAUGAUAAGCGUGGAAAGCAACUUCUGAACUUUUAUGUAGAUAUUUAAGUGCCAAUGCCAUAUUUUGUUAUAACACAGGAAACCCAACUUUUGAGGCCACCGAUUUACCUUGGAUGUUGCAUGUGAAUUACUUUAGCUAAUUGUCUUGCCGUCGAGCUUUUAGUUGAAGUUCACUGAAUUUCUUGUAAUGACAUUUCAGCUAUUAUACGAUCGACCCAAUUGUUAGCUUUAUGAUGCUUUUUGGAGUCGACUCUGUUAAACAUAUAAGGUUCAGGUUCAGCGCAUAGUGCAACAUUGUAACGUGGUAGAUCUCUUGGAGAUAUUCUGGUAGUUUGUUGGCCUAGGUAACUAGCUUAACCGUGGCUAACUCUAUCUCUCUCUUUCUUCUUCUCCAAGAUGUACUCUAUCUCCUGUAUGCGCUACAGGGAUCUGCGCCCCUGCCUAUAAACAUGAACCACGUUCCCUCGUACAGAGGUAAGACGUUUAUCGCAUCUUCACAUGGUAACCAGAGCCUCCUUCUUCCACAACAUCUAGCAUCCAUCAAACCCUAGCUCCAACCAUGUCGUCUUCCGCUGUCGCUCUUGUACCCACCAUCCAUGGUCAGGUAACAGAGAAGCUCACCAGGACGAACUAUGUCCUCUGGCGUGCUCAGAUCAUGCCCCAGCUCAUCGGCGCUGGCCUGUUUGGCUACGUCGACGGAUCCAUCAAGGAACCAGAGAAGUUCCUCGUCACCAAGGAUAAAGAUGGCAAGGAGGAAGCCGUCCCGAACCCUCUACACCAAGUCUGGGUAAGGGAAGAUUAGCAGGUACUUGGUCAUCUAUUGAUCAAUCUCUCUCGAGAAGUUCUUAUCCAGGUGACUUCGAUCCGCAAGGCGCAUGAGCUCUGGACUGCUGUGGCGAGCAUGUUCUCGUCCCAGUCCCGAUCUCGCAUCAACAACAUCAGGAUCGCCCUCUCCAAUGCGCAGAAGGGCACGCAAACGGUGGGCGCCUACUUCGCCCACAUCCGCUCCCUCGCCGACGAACUGGCGGCCGCUGGCAAGCCGCUAGAUGACGAUGAAGUCAUCUCCUACAUCCUGGCAGGGCUGGACAUGGAGUACCAGCCGCUGGUGUCGGCACUCGACGCCCGAAAAGAACCGAUCACGAUCGAUGAUCUGUUCGCUCAAGUAAGCAACCUCGACCAGCGCAUUGCUAUGUUCCAUGGUGCUGGCAACAACGCCGGGUUCAAGAGCUCCGCCAACGCCGCCAUUCGUGGUGGUCGUGGUGGCUCACGCGGCUACCGUGGCCCUCCGCGCAACAAGGGAAAGAACAGCGGCGGCGGCAGCAGCAACUCCAACAACAGCGCCUCUCGUGGGCGGCCCUCCUACACCAACAACAAGGGCCGUCACAACAACUCCAGGAGCCGCCCCGACGCUGUCAAGUGUCAAAUCUGCGGCAAGAUCGGUCACUCAGCAAGGGAAUGCUGGUACCGGUUUGAGGAGGAUGAAGGAGAAUCCUCGCAAGAUGAGAAGGUCGCUGGUGCUGCAGAAGCCUCAUAUGGGGUUGAUACAAACUGGUAUGUUGAUAGUGGCGCUACAAAUCACAUCACCGGUGAACUUGAAAAGGUGACUAUGCGGGAGAAGUACCGCGGCCAAGACCAGAUACAUACAGCAAGCGGAUCAGGUAUGAGGAUUAAACAUGUUGGUCAUUCAGUUUUUCAAACCCCUCACCGAAAGAUUCAUCUAAGAAAAAUCCUUCAUGUCCCUAGUGCAUCUAAAAAUCUACUCUUCGUUCAUCGUAUUGCCAUUGACAAUCAUGUCUUUCUCGAGUUUCACCCUUUUUUCUUUUUGAUCAAGGAUCAAGCAACGAGGAAGGUGCUCUACCGAGGUAGAUGUGUUCGCGGGCUUUACCCAUUGAUUCCGGAGUUUAGAAGAAUAAAUAAGCAAGCUUAUGGUGUCACCAAAAUCUCCUCGACAAGGUGGCAUGAUAGACUAGGGCAUGCAUCUUUUUCUUUAGUUGAACGAUUGCUUAGGAAGAAUAAGCUCCCAUAUGUUGGAGAGCAUAAUGUUGAAACAAUUUGUGAUUCUUGUCAAAAGGCUAAAAGCCAUCAAUUACCUUAUCCAAUUUCUACGAGUAUUUCUACCAAACCGUUGCAACUUAUUUUUUCUGAUGUUUGGGGUCCUGCUCCAAGUUUUGUUGGUAGGCAUACUUACUAUGUUAGCUUCAUUGAUGACUAUAGCAAGUAUUCUUGGAUCUAUUUACUCAAAAAAAGAUCCGAGGUCUUUCAAGUGUUUCACAACUUCCAAGCUCUCGUUGAACGAAAGUUUAAUAGCAAAAUCAUUGCCAUUCAAUCCGAUUGGGGAGGGGAAUAUGAAAAAUUAAACUCGUCCUUCCAAACUCUUGGCAUCUCUCACCAAGUUUCUUGUCCUCAUGCUCAUCAGCAGAAUGGAUCUGCCGAAAGAAAACAUAGGCACAUUGUUGAGGUUGGUCUAGCUCUCUUGGCUGGCGCAUCCAUGCCCCUCAAAUUUUGGGAUGAGGCUUUUCUUACCGUUGUUCAUAUCAUCAACAUGCUUCCUAGUCUUGUCAUCAAUCAUGAAACACCGAUAGAAAGGCUUCUUCGCAUCAAACCCGAUUAUACAUCACUUCGUGUUUUUGGGUGCGCAUGUUGGCCAAACCUUCGACCCUACAACAAUCGCAAACUUAUGUUUCGCUCGGAACAGUGUGUCUUCUUGGGCUAUAGCCCUCAACAUAAAGGAGUUAAGUGCCUUGAUGUCUCCACUGGACGAGUCUAUAUCUCUAGAGAUGUCGUGUUUGACGAGACAAAAUUUCCCUUUGCUGAUCUACAUCCAAACACCGGUGCUCUUCUUCGCCAAGAAAUUCUCAUUUUGCCAUCACAUCUAGUAGGUGCCUCUGGGGAAGAUAACUGUAAUGAUCACAUGCCAACUAAUCCUCAUAACAGUUUGCUUGAGCUAUGUGAUGAUGCAGGACAAAACAGUGAAGCCAAUGGUGCUCACGGUGAUGAAAAUGGUGAAGAAACGGCUCCAAACGAGCCAUAUUUCAUGUGCAGGCCCUCGGGAGACAUAUCUCCUUCGGGAUCCGGGCCGCACCAGUCCUGCAGGCAAUCUCCUUCGGGAUUGACGCCCUCUGCACCUGCGCCUGACAACGACACGUCCGGCAGCGCCCGGGUCGCCCGCCCUGACUCGGCGGUGCGCCACGCCUCCGACCAAUCCGCGGGCGCUGAUGGCCCGCGCCAAUCUCCGGGCCCCACGCGGCAGCUGACGAGCCGCUUCCCCGAUCCGCCCACGUGCUACGCGCGGCGCCCGCGUCGGCCGUCCGGCUCGGGGCCCCAUGUGGUGGACCACCCGACAGGCGCUGGAUCUCGCAUGGAUCCUGAUGACGCUCCUGGUGGGAGCGAAUCUCCUGCUGCGGGCGGAUCCUCUGUGGCGGAUGGCGCCCCUUCAUCACCCGCUGAAGCCGCAGAAAAUCCUGCCUCUUCGUCAGAUCCCAGAAUAUCUGCCUCGGGAUCACCGGGGGAUACUGAUGUGGAUUUUUCUGCUGCAGACCCCGGAUCUUCUGUGCAGCAAACUGCUGCUGCUUCACCAUCCAUGCCACGCACACGUCUACAAAAAGGGGUAUUGCAACCUGUCAAUUAUAAAAAGGUACUUAAGUUUGGCUUAGCUUGCUCUACAGGUGAACCACAAACGCUUGAUGAGGCAUUAGGUGACACAAAGUGGAAGCAAGCUAUGGAAGAAGAGUACAGAGCACUCCAGAAAAACAAGACAUGGCAUCUAGUUCCUUCACGGCAAGGUCAAAAUCUCAUUGAUUGCAAGUGGGUAUUCAGAAUAAAAAGGAAGUCUGAUGGAACUAUUGAUCGAUAUAAGGCUAGACUUGUUGCCAAAGGAUUUAAGCAACGGUAUGGCAUAGACUAUGAGGACACCUUUAGUCCCGUUGUUAAAGCUGCCACCAUUCGUCUUGUUUUGUCUAUUGCUGUUUCCAGGGGAUGGAGUCUUAGACAGCUAGAUGUUCAGAACGCGUUCCUUCAUGGUGUUCUGGAAGAGGAAGUGUAUAUGAAGCAACCUCCUGGGUUUGAGAACAAAAACACACCUUUCCAUGUCUACAAGUUGGAUAAAGCUUUGUAUGGCCUUAAACAAACUCCUAGGGCAUGGUACUCCCAUCUCAGUCAAAAAUUACAAGCACUUGGUUUUGUUCCUUCCAAGUCUGACACAUCACUGUUCAUUUACAAUAAGUGCAACACAUCUAUCUUUGUGCUCAUUUAUGUUGACGAUAUUAUUGUUACAAGCUCAUCAAAUGAAGCAGUGACAGGACUGUUGAAAGAUCUUAGUGCUGAAUUUGCACUGAAGAAUCUAGGAGACUUGCAUUUUUUCCUAGGUAUUGAGGUAAGGAAACAAGGAAGUGAACUUCACCUAUCUCAGGAAAAAUAUGCUACUGAUCUUGUAAGAAGAGCUGGGCUACAGGGAUGCAAGCCAUCACCAACACCAAUGUCAAGUUCUGAAAAAAAUUCUCUUACAGAGGGAGAACUCCUGAAUCAGGAAGAUAGUACCAAGUACAGAAGCUUAGUUGGUGCACUCCAGUACUUGACUCUUACAAGACCAGAUAUUUCUUUUGCUGUGGACAAAGUUUGUCAGUUUCUUCAUGCUCCCACUACAGUUCAUUGGACUGCUGCAAAACGGAUAGUAAGAUAUGUCAAAGACACUGUUAAUGUUGGUCUUACGUUCUCCAAGUCUACUUCAACUCUUGUCAGUGCAUUCUCUGAUUCUGACUGGGCAGGAGAUAUUGAUGAUAGGCGCUCUACUGGUGGUUUUGCAGUAUUCUUUGGACCUAACCUUAUAUCUUGGUGUGCAAAGAAACAGGCUACAGUCUCAAGAUCAAGUACAGAAGCAGAAUACAAGGCUUUGGCUAAUGCAACAGCAGAAAUUACCUGGGUUCAGUCCAUGCUCAGAGAACUUGGAAUAAAACAUACUCAAGCUCCAUGUCUUUGGUGUGACAAUCUUGGUGCCACUUAUUUGUCUGCAAAUCAUGUGUUUCAUGCAAGAACAAAACAUAUUGAGAUUGACUUCCACUUUGUUCGAGAAAGGGUUGCUAGCAGGAAGCUUGAGAUCCGGUUUGUACAUUCCAGAGAUCAAGUUGCAGAUGGCUUCACCAAGGCAUUGCCUACAAGGAAUUUUGAAUUAUUCAAACGUAAUCUCAACUUAACAAAGUUGUGAUUAUGGGAGGGUGUUAAACAUAUAAGGUUCAGGUUCAGCGCAUAGUGCAACAUUGUAACGUGGUAGAUCUCUUGGAGAUAUUCUGGUAGUUUGUUGGCCUAGGUAACUAGCUUAACCGUGGCUAACUCUAUCUCUCUCUUUCUUCUUCUCCAAGAUGUACUCUAUCUCCUGUAUGCGCUACAGGGAUCUGCGCCCCUGCCUAUAAACAUGAACCACGUCCCCUCGUACAGAGGUAAGACGUUUAUCGCAUCUUCACAGACUCAUGAAGAUGAUGGCUAGCCUGCACGAACAUUUGUGGCUUCUGCAUAGAUGAUUCAGAUAGUCUACAAGAAAGGUAAAUAAUUAUAGGGGAUAGAUGUACGUUGCUCCCACAAUAUCCAGUUAUUGUCAGCAAACUUGCUUGUGGGCCAUGCCGACGAUGACAGGUGUAUGAAAAUGCAGCUCACCGACGGCGAUUGGAGCACCAACUUGGGUGACCCAGCUGUUUGACGCCGCCGGCUCGACCUACUUCGCUAGCAGCAUCGAGGAGGACGUGGAGCUCGUAGCCUCUUGAGCCCUCCGCGGGGCUCGUCUCGUCAGGCCGCCAUGGUUGCAGUAUAAAAAUCCUUACUGCCAUAUACAUGUCCCUUUUUUCCUCCCCGUCGCUUCCGCGGAUGAAAACCACAACAAACUCCUGCAAACACGCGAACAAUCGGCCAUGGCUUCCGCCCUCCGAGCCCCGCGAAGUCAUGUACAAUCUUACCGGCUGGCAUCAUCUACAAUCUUACCGGCUGGGAUCAUAUAGUUAUCAGAGUGUCACUUUUUGAUUUGGUACUGUCAUGUUUUUCAGCAGCCAUUAUAUAAUUAGCUGCUCAUCUUCCCACGUGCUGUUAUAGCCCUCCACAUAUCUGAAGGCAAAGAUGGUCCAUGAGUGUCCAUGUGAUGAAGAUCUUCAUGGCUAUUUCAAAAUAGACCUGAUGUUAGGUGAAAAUAUUCAUCGAUGGUUCAAUGAAGAUGCAUCAAAUUUCAAAAUAGAAUGCUAAUAAAUUACACCCUAGAGCAAUAUGAGAGUAUUUAAAUUUGGAUGGACCUAAACCUAUCCAGCACAGUACACAAGCUCUUUUAAAAUAUCGACAUUUAUCCGGUUUGCAUUUUUUUGUACUGGAGUUAAACCUAUCCAGCAUGUUCGUGAACCUAAAGUCGGCUUCAGUAUAUAUCAAUUGGAAGUCGGCUUAUGAGGCUUCAGUAUAUAUCAAUUGGAAGCCGGUUUCUGUGGCUCUGCCUGUAUGUUUACAUUUUGCAAACGCAGUUUAUGCCUGAUAUUUGUGUCUCUUUAUUUAUGCAGAACUAUUCUAGAGCUCAAGGCAUCAGGUACACUUUAGAUACAAACUCUCGCGCUCAACGGAGUUUCCAUGUAGUGUUAAAUUCCGGUGAACUAUAUCUCACCCCAUGCAUGCUGCCUACUCCUUUGUUGCAAACACAAAGCUGCAUGAGACCAGAUCGAUUAGGUAUACUUUGUUACUGACUGAUUGGUUCAUGGAUUAAGCAUGGACUGUAGGAAAUUAGGAGUUGUACAAGGAGGAAAGGAGAAGAGAAGAGAAGAGAAGAAAGAGGACUUAUUUCAUUGGAUUCGCGGCUGUUUGAUUCCUGUUUGCUGCAAGGAUAGAUCUCCGUUGACCACAUAUUCAGUAGUAGAUCAAAAGCUUAUUUUAAAUUCUAGGAAUAAUUGGGUUCAUAAUUUGGUUGUGGCACCCACAUGAAAGCUGUAGAGUCCAUCGAUAUCUUUCCAAGGAUACUAAGUUUCUGCAAUUCAGAAUAAUGAUUGUCAAGAUAUCACCAAAACAUAUUUCUAUGUUCGAGGAUUUUUAAUACUAGAAGAUUUUCUGUUUUACAAGAAUUACUCUACUUACAGGAAGAACCAGUUUUUGGCCGCCACAUGAACUUACAAAUGAUCUCCUUCUGAUAUUCAUACUAUUCUCAUUUGCUUGAUUUUGUGAAGUGCAUUAAGAUUUAUAGUAUAGACCAGAUAUGUUCAGAAUGGUUUCAAUGUUAAGUGAAAGAUAGGAACACAUGAUUUCAGUAUCUUGAUGAGGGCCAGAUUUAACUUGCUGAUGAAUAACAGAAGUUAUAUUGCUGGGACAUGUUUUUGGCCUCACAUUACUUAACUCUGCAGCUGGUUUGUAGAGCUGCAUCUUCUCUUAUUCUUUUUGGUUCUUCGGAUGAGCGACGCUGCCUGUGGGUCGUGGACAAAGCGGCUGCUACUUCCAGGUUUGAUUUUUUGCUGAUCAGUUCCUGGUGAUGGGAUUAUGGUUUUUUGUGUGACUUCUCCUGAAGAGAUUUUUGUUUUUGGUUUUGGUUUUGAUGGUGAAUUUAGGAUAACAGGGACAAUGAUGUUGCCAUACCGGCAGGUGCUGGACAUGAUUCUCAAAGAAGAUACGGAUGUGCAUGCUUCACAUCUUCUACACGCUUAUGCAAAGUGGGAUUUUAUUCAUAUUUUGAUGAGCUUAAUUUCUUAUGCUACUGAUUGCUUCUGCCUGAAGGAUACAUAUGGUAUGUUUUGUGAGCGGUGGGUAUGGAUGAGGUGAGAGCGUCUGUUAGUGAGUCAUUUUUGUUGGAUACUUUAAUCUGUUAGGGUUGAUAUAUAUUUUGAUUGGCGUGGUUGCCUCAAAGUAAUGCCCUGCUACUCCUUGGGGGACGUGAGCGAAGAUUUAUGCCUUAAGCAUAGGAAUGAGGGAGUAGGUUCCAAUAGAAUAGGCGAUGAUGCUAGGAGAGGCACAUCGAGGAACAAGUACAUGGUGCUACUCGAUGGUCAGCCACAUUCUGACUAUUAUUUUGGCAUGCCAAAGAGAUAGCACAUGAUGUUCUACUGCUGGGGAAUUGAAGUAUAGUGCUUAACAAUAUACUGGCAUGUAUUUUUUUUUAAGUAUAUAGUGGUUUCCUUUAGUUGAAAUACAGAAAAAAUUUCACCCCCAAUGAUUCAACAAGAGUUGUUCAUUAAAAGCGUGUGGUUUCUUUCUUCAUCAAGAAUUGAAAUAAUAUGUACUAUUAGAACUCCAUGGAGAGCAAUAAUAUAAUUGUCACAUGGGGUGAUCUUUAUUGGCUAAUUGUAUAGCUUAUGAUCUUAUGGAGUUUAGGUUUGUAAAUCCACGUAUUUUUUAGAUGAAGAAACAAAGAAGGAAAUGACUAUAUCAAGGAUCACAUAUGGUUAAAUGUAGAGACAACGAACACGGUGGCAUAUUACUUGCAACAUGGUGAAACUUUUAGGAUAGAAGGGUAAACGAAUUGCUCGGUCGCUUCAAGAGUUAAUAAUGGACAUGGUGGCACAUGUAUACUUCGCGGUAAUGCAUGAUAUUCGACUGUAUGUUACAACAUGGCAAUGACUCAGGAUAUAUCGGAUCUGCCUUGAUGGCGGUGGCGGAUCAGCACGAACACAAGGGGUGGGGAUCAGGGCGGAGAGUGGGUGAUUGGCGGGGGACUCCUCCUUGGUGGUCUGUGGGGAUAUACAAUGUGAAGGUGGGAGGGCGCCAUGGCGAGGUGAGGUGGGCGUCAUCUGGUUUUAAAGAAGAGGGCUCCAGCGAGAAAUGUCCGGCUACGGUGGGAAACCGAGCGGGAAGGGGUGGGUUCAACAGAAAAAGGGAAUGGUGCGUCGUGGGUUGAGUUUUUGUGUUAGGACCGUGUGUUGAAGAUAAAAUGACGGAUAGUCCGGAGAAGCAUAUUUCUCCUCCGCAUAUGGUAUGGAUUUGAAGAAGUUCAGAUUGUCCAGAUGGUUAAAUUUUGGGGUGCAUUCUGGGUGCCCGUUUGAUGUUCUAACACGCCCAAAUAUAUGAGGAAGAAAUGAACUCCGACCUUCGAUCUGUUUGAUUCAUUUAUAUAUAUGCCUUGUAGCCCGUAGCAAUGCACGUGUAUUGUACUAGUCUCGAUAGUGGUUGGGUUGGUCGGAUUGGUGGCGAGGACCCAACUAAAUCUUUUUUUCCUCCGCGUCUGCCUCUAUCUUUGGGUUGAGCCUGCCUCUUCAUUUGGUGGCUGCACGGCAAUCUUCGGGACACGGUUGCUUCGACCGCUCUAUCCUACGACGGCGUAACCAUGUGCUCCCCUCCUGUCAUGAGUCGAUGGGGGAGUCGACCGCGCCAAGACGGGCAGGGUUGUCGACGCAGGCGAGGGCGAGGGCGGGGUCGAGGGGCUCCAUGACCUCCUCAACGCGGCUGACGCCGGCGUCGAUGCGCGAGCAGCGCUUGAGCGUGAGGACGGCGCGGGAGGGGCGCGGCGUCGGUGCUGUAGAGGCGGACCCUCUGGGCAGCGGUGGUGGCGGCGAGGGGCCGCGCGGGGGCGUCGGUGCGGAGCAGGCGGGGCGCGAGGAAGGAGGAGAGGCGCCGGUGUGCGGCUGCGUCGGGGAGCCGGAGCUUGAUCUCGACCUCCAUGGGGUUGGGGUUGCGGCUAGGGCUGGGGGGCGGGGGCUGGAAGGGGCGGGCGGCGGCGUCUACUCUGGGAGUUUUAGGGAUCGAGAGGAGCGGAUGAAAAAACCUAUGAAAAAACCCAGUGCACUAGUAGGAAAUGGGGCUUUUACCCCGGUUUGUAAGGGCCUUUUGUCCCGGUUUUCGAACCGGGACUAAAGGGUCGUUACUAAAUCCCUAACCCUUUAGUCCCGGUUCUUACACGAACCGGGACAGAAGGUCCUCCACGUGGCCGCUACUGCCAGCCCAGGCAGGGGGGCCUUUGGUCCCAGUUGGUGCCAACAACCGGGACUAAUAGGCAGUGCCUUUUGUCCCGGUUGGUGUCACCAACCGGGACCAAUAGGCAUCCACGCGUCAGCAUUUCAGGGGCUGGGGUUUUUGUUUUUUUUGAAGGGGGGGGGUUUGGGGGUUAAUUUAGGUGUUUCAUAUAUUGUGUUAGCUAGCUAAUUAAUAGAGAGAAGUGUCCUCUCUUAUCUCCGUGCUUGGUCGACGCUACGUACUAUAUACGUAUGGAGAGGUCUAGACACGCUAGCUAGUAAGCAAAUGAAGGAAACAGAAGAUCGUCAUGAACAUAUGCAUGCAGAGAGAAGUGAUAUCGACCACCUCUCCUUCUCCGAGAGAUUGGUCGAACAACAAGUUCUCGUAUAUCUAUCUGACACUAUCAGCUACAUAUAUACAAUAAUUAUCUCUUACAAUAUAAUCUCCUAAUUAAAUUGUAAGAACACAGGGUCCACAUAGUAUUCUCCGUUUUCAGCGAUCACGUGGUCAAGGAAGAAUGCCGCCAAUUCCUCUUGAAUUGCUCGCAUACGAUCUUCUGCUAGGAGUUCAUCCCGCAUCCGAAACAUCUAAUUUGAAGAAGGGGGUCAAUACAUAUAUAUAUAUAUAUAUAUAUAUAUAUAUGAAUAAAUAAAACUCGACACAAAUGAUGGUAAUAAAAUAAAAUUGUGAAUAUUAUUGCUUACGCACUUCAUAUUGUUCGUCAGAGUAGCCCCGUUCACAGGUCCUGUGGCGGAUAGACUCGCAAACAUAGUAUCCACAGAAAUCAUUCCCUUGUUCCUGCCACAACCACUUUACAAGAAAUAGAGGUCAAUCUAACUGAUAAGCAAGCAUGCUAAAUGGUAUUGAUGAAACUAGCGCUUGAAUCACUAGGAGAUGUGCGGAACAUGCUACUAUAGUACUUACUUUCGGGUGUCUAAAUUGCAGCUUCUUCGGCAGUCCCGGAGCUUUUGUGGUGAAUUUUCUCCAAACCCUGCCAGACAAAGAAAACAAUUACUUGAUAUCAGGAAAUGAACAAAGUUGCUGAUAUGGUGGAUAAUGAUCGAUUUAACUUACUUCUCGAGCAUUUGAGUCAUGUCCGCAUAUUCCUGGGGAUCUUUUUGUCUCGAGUCUAAGACGGUUACUACUCCCUGCUCAAGCUUAAUCUCUAGGAGAAUAUAGUGGAAGCUGCGCAUGCAUGCAUAAGUCAUCAAUUACAUUACCAUAACCUGGACUAAUAAGGGAAACCGAAUAUGCACAAGACAGUAACACUCACUUGAAGUUAUAAGGAAAGAGUAUUAUAUCUUUGUUUUGAUUUAAUACCAACGAUCGUAGCAAGUUGGCCUCGGCUUCUUUGGCAUGUUUUUCAACCAUAUAUGCAUCUAUGAGAUUUGUGUUAAUGAACCCAAUAUCACCGAUUUGUCUUUUCUUCAAUUCGGCGAUCUUCAAUCUGCAUAAUAUAGUGAGGAUAAUUAUAAACACAUGCAAUGAAAGAGCUGACCUAUAUAGAGAGACUUAAUGACAGAAGUAGUACUACUUAUAGACAGUAGCAAGUGAUCGUUGAUUUAUCAAGGGCCUUUUGAUUGAAAAACUGGAAGAACUCCUCAAAUGGAACAUUCAGCAGUUCAAUUCCAACGAGGUCAUGCUCCGGUUUAACUCUCAGCGUCAAAGUAUUCAUCCCAUCAGACUCUCUGCAGGUUUUCAUGUACCAAUCAUGUAAUCUUCGCAUCAUCAUUGUUAGAGAUCUUUCAUCUUUGACGAGAGGCUUCCCGUAAUGGUAUUUGUGUUCGUCCACCUCCAUGAUUUCAUAAUGUACAUCGUCGGGCAGGUAAUCUCCAAGAUUGCUAUAACCGGGCACCAUCCUCGGAUCAUUAGCGACGAUGUCACUAGACUCCUUGAGCGGGGGGCACGAUUGGUUCGCUUGUUCGCCGAGCUGGGCAAUUUUUUUCCCAGCUCGUCGUUCUUUUAACCUUUUAUCACUGACAGUACUUUCCGACCGCUCCGCUUCGGCAUAUGUCUUUGCAAGAAUGCGCUCAUAGUUGCCUCUCGGCGGAGACUUUGGUGGUUUUGUCAGGGCAGCCAGAGUGCGCUUUGCUGUCACCGGAUCUACCUUCUCCUCCGGAGGUGGAUGUUUCUUUACUUUCACCCCUUCAAAGAAGUUCUUCACUUCGGCUUGCACGAUCUUCCUGGUUUCCUCCUCGGUCCUCUCGUAUGGUAACUUCUCUGGAGUCUUCAGAGAAGGACCGAAUCUGUAUUGCCUCCCGCGUCUGGCAGCUGUAUUGCUAGACGCCGGCAGAGCAGACGGAGCGGCUGCGGCUGUCUUCUUUCCUUGCUUACAAGGCAGAGGAGAAGGACUAUGACGCGCCAGAGCAGCCGGAGCGGCGGUGGGUCUCUUCCGCCCUUGCUGACGAGGCGGAGAAGGAGGAGGCUGGCUGCUCUGGCACGCCGGCGCAGGCGGAGAAGGAGGCAGAGUGUCGCCACGCGCCGGAGAAGGAGGCUGAUGAGUGCCCUGAUCACUCGCCGGAGGAGGAGGCGGAGGAGGAGGCGGAGUGCCGCCACGCGCCGGAGAAGGAGGCUGAGUGCCCUGAUCACUCACCGGAGGAGGAGGCGGCGGCAGAGUGCCCUUACUCGCCGGAGGCGUCCAGUUCGGAAGGUUAAUGAGCUCCUUCCGCCAUAGGCACGGAGUCUUCAGAGCUAAACCCAGCCGAGUCUCCCCUUCACCGGUAGGGUGGUCAAGCUAGAGGUCCUCAAAUCCCUCCGUUAUUUCAUCCACCAUCACCCUAGCAUAUCCUUCUGGAAUCAGCCGGCAGUGGUAGGUUGCGCCGGGUUCAGGAGGUAAAACAGAGCCAACAGCCACCUUGACUUUGAAGUUCUGCCAUUGCUCCAUAAGGUGGCAAUGUAGAGACUCCGUGAUAGCAUCCACGGGGUAGAUAGCAGGAGCUGUCAAGACAUGCUCCGGCUGAAGCAGCUCGGUGGAAGCCACGCUGCUUCUCCGCUGAGAUGGCGGGGUAGCUUCGGGGGUAGUUUCGGCAUGUCGAUUGUCGUCUCGUUCCUCUAGCGCUUGAACCCUUUCGUGCAGCUUCUGAAUUUGGGUCUGCUCCAUUUUUUUCCUCCUCUCCUGGCUUUUGUAACCGCCUGCGUCCGGAAAACCAGCCUUCCACGGAACGGAGCCUGGCGUGCCUCGUGUCCGUCCAGGGUGCUCAGGAUUCCCGAGGGCCAUUGUGAGCUCGUCGUUCUCUCUGUCUGGAACGAAUGUCCCUUCCUGCGCUGCAUCGAUAUAUUGCUGAAUCUUCUUGACUGGUAUUCUCAAAAGCUCGUUCGUCCAAACGCACCUCCCUGAUACAGGGUCCAAGGUUCCGCCAGCCUCGAAGAACCAAGUCCGGCAACGGUCUGUCCAGUUCAUUGUCUGUGGUUCGAUCCCUUUUUCAAGCAGAUCAUUCUCAACCUUGGCCCACUUAGGUCGGGCUUUGAAGUAGCCACCUGACCCCGUGCGAUGGUGAAGCUUCUUCUUCGCAGCAUUCUUCUUGUUUGUCGCUGACAUCUUCUUACUCUUUUCCGAUGUCUUGUGGGCCACAAAUGCGGGCCAGUGAUCUCUGAUCUUCUCAUACCGGCCGAUGAAUUCUGGUGUCUCUUCUUUGUCGACAAACAUUUUCAGCUCAUUCUUCCACUUCCUGAAUAGGUCUGCCAUCUUCUUAAGAGCAUGAGACUUGAUUAAUUGCUCUUUACUAGCUUCUCCGGAUCCUCCUCUGGCGGUAGGGUGAAAUUUGCCUUCAGCUCAGUCCAAAGAUCAUCUUUCUGCAUAUCAUUGACAUAAGACACCUCAGGGUCUUCCUUCUUAGGCUUAUACCAUUGCUGGAUGCUGAUCGGGAUCUUGUCCCUAACUAGAACCCCGCACUGAGCAGCAAAUGCAUCCUUUGUCCGGAUGGGUUCAAUCGGUUGGCCGUCGCGCGCGAUUGCUGUGAUCUCAAACCUUUCAUCCGAGCGCAACUUUCUCUUCGGGCCUCGUCUCUUUACCGCAAUUGUGCUCGAUCCGGAGCGCUAGAAAAAAGAAGAAAGACGAGUGUUAAUUAAUAUGUGUACAUACCAAAACAAUGAAUGCAUCAAUUAGCUAGUCAGCACAAGCUUAACUAAUAUAUUUACCUGGCCGGACUCUGUUCGGUCACUGGAGCCGUCACCACGGGCUCCUUCUUGCACCAGCAUUGGGUCACCGGAGCCAUCAUAAUCAUGUCUUUCCUCCUCCACUCUUCGAUCACCGUAGCCUGCUUCUUCACCCUGUUCUUUCAGACCAUCAUUGUCGUUAAGAUACGACAAGAUAUCACCUCCGGCUAAGAUUAUGUCCCCCAACACCUCUUCUGCUUGCUCGUCUCGUCCGUGCUCCAUUGUUUCUGCAAAUAUUACAACAUGGCAAUUAUUACACAAACAUGACAGCAGGUGGAUAUAUUAGUGCAAACGUAGACCUAGCUUAUUCCGGGUUUGGGGUGGCCUCGGCAACGCUUCAAGGGUAGGGGCGCGACGGGAGGGGGUAGGAGACCGACAUCGUUUUUUUCUAGGGUUUGGGUGUCCUUGAGAGUUUUGGUCGAGCAAGAGGGCCGGGGGGUGCUCCCGUGGUAUAUGUUAUCACGGUCGAGAGGGGGUAUAAAUAUCGACCGUCCAUCAUGUCGAAGUUAUCUGAGAGGGAGUUAUAUAUAUCGACAACGACGACAUACAUACAUGGGAAAAUAAUGUUAUCCGGGAGGGGGUAUAUCGACCCCUCCCCACGUGUUGAAGUUAUCAGGAGGGGGUUAUAUCGACAACGACGACAUACGUACAUGGGAAAAUAAUAUUAUCGGGGAGGGGGUAUAUCGACCCCCCCUCGUGUUGAAGUUAUCGGGAGAGGGGUAUAUCGACGACGACAGACCCGAUAAAACAUAAGAAAACGAAGAAGAAAUAAAAAGAGGAGAAGAAGAAAAGGAAUAGAGGAGAAGAUCGAAGAAAANNNNNNNNNNNNNNNNNNNNNNNNNNNNNNNNNNNNNNNNNNNNNNNNNNNNNNNNNNNNNNNNNNNNNNNNNNNNNNNNNNNNNNNNNNNNNNNNNNNNNNNNNNNNNNNNNNNNNNNNNNNNNNNNNNNNNNNNNNNNNNNNNNNNNNNNNNNNNNNNNNNNNNNNNNNNNNNNNNNNNNNNNNNNNNNNNNNNNNNNNNNNNNNNNNNNNNNNNNNNNNNNNNNNNNNNNNNNNNNNNNNNNNNNNNNNNNNNNNNNNNNNNNNNNNNNNNNNNNNNNNNNNNNNNNNNNNNNNNNNNNNNNNNNNNNNNNNNNNNNNNNNNNNNNNNNNNNNNNNNNNNNNNNNNNNNNNNNNNNNNNNNNNNNNNNNNNNNNNNNNNNNNNNNNNNNNNNNNNNNNNNNNNNNNNNNNNNNNNNNNNNNNNNNNNNNNNNNNNNNNNNNNNNNNNNNNNNNNNNNNNNNNNNNNNNNNNNNNNNNNNNNNNNNNNNNNNGCGUCGUCGGGGCAAACUGCAGAUGAACUCUGAAAAAUUUCCUAAGUGUUUGCUUAUAUAGCAAAGCCUUUAGUCCCGGUUCGUGGCACCAACCGGGCCUAAAGGUAGGCAUUAGUCCCGGUUGGUGCCACCAACCGGGACCAAAGCCCUCUUUUCAGCAGCCCAAAGGGCGGGAAGCGGCGGCCUUUGGUCCCGGUUGGUGGAACCAACCGGGACUAAAGGGGGGGCAUUGGUCCCGGUUGGUGCCACGAACCGGUACGAAUGCACCCCUUUAGUCCCGGUUGGUGGCACCAACCGGGACCAAGGCCUCUUGCUGCCCGCGUCGCGGCCAAAAGUUUAGUCCCACCUUGCUAGCCGAGGGGCGCCCGCACCAGUUUAAAAGCCGCGGCGCGGCUGCUGUCUCGAACUCCUCUCUAUAGCAGGAUUCUGGGCCUAACUUUGGCGCGCUGCCCGUUGAGCCUUCUAGCCCUUCUGGUCCUGUAUUUGCAAACCUGAGGGUUGGAAGGCCCAGCGGGCAGCGCCCCAACAAUUUUUUUUGCUGUAUUUAGUUUUUCUGUUUUCUUUUUUUUCUUUAUUUAUUUUGUUUUGUUUCUACUUACGACAAAAAACUUAUUUAUUUUAUUUUGUUUCUAAUUACUUAUUUNNNNNNNNNNNNNNNNNNNNNNNNNNNNNNNNNNNNNNNNNNNNNNNNNNNNNNNNNNNNNNNNNNNNNNNNNNNNNNNNNNNNNNNNNNNNNNNNNNNNNNNNNNNNNNNNNNNNNNNNNNNNNNNNNNNNNNNNNNNNNNNNNNNNNNNNNNNNNNNNNNNNNNNNNNNNNNNNNNNNNNNNNUUGUUUUCUUUUUGCUUUAUUUAUUUUGUUUUGUUUCUACUUACAACAAAAAACUUAUUUAUUUUAUUUUGUUUCUAAUUACUUAUUUAUUUUACUUUAUGAUAAUUCUUUUUGCUAUUAAAGUUUCUAUCAAAAAAGUUCUUUAUGAAAAUUCUUUUUGCUUUUAAUGAUUUUGAACAGAAAAUACUUCGAUAAUUUUAGUUGCAUCAAUUUUAUAUGAUUUUAGUUUCAAUAAUACUAGAGGUUUCUUAUANNNNNNNNNNNNNNNNNNNNNNNNNNNNNNNNNNNNNNNNNNNNNNNNNNNNNNNNNNNNNNNNNNNNNNNNNNNNNNNNNNNNNNNNNNNNNNNNNNNNNNNNNNNNNNNNNNNNNNNNNNNNNNNNNNNNNNNNNNNNNNNNNNNNNNNNNNNNNNNNNNNNNNNNNNNNNNNNNNNNNNNNNNNNNNNNNNNNNNNNNNNNNNNNNNNNNNNNNNGUUUCUAAUUACUUAUUUAUUUUACUUUAUGAUAAUUCUUUUUGCUAUUAAAGUUUCUAUCAAAAAAAGUUCUUUAUGAUAAUUCUUUUUUCUAUUAAAGUUUAUUUUAUUUUGUCGUAACACAAGAAGUCCGGAGUUGUAAUAAGUUAUUAAAAAUGGAAAAGAGGCGCAAUGCUCGUUGAUUAGCUUCAAGCCUUUCGGAAUAGUGUAGACUGCACUGCACAUAGCUCCAUGUAGUCUACCUUAUUCCUCAAGGCUUGAAGCUAAGCUACGUGAAGGUGAGCAUUGCGCCUCUUCUUCAUCGUCUCUGCACUCAGGGCUUAUAAACCGCUCCUAGUGCCUCUCAGCUAGCGAGGUGGGACUAAAAAACUGCUUAGUAAGAAACUCUAGUACCGGUUCGUGCCACGAACCGGUACUAAAGGUGCUCGUGGGGCCACAGCCUCAUUACUACCGGUUCGUGGCAGCAACCAGGACCAAAGGGUGGAAUCGGUCCCGGUUCGUGCCACCAACCGGGACCAAUGGCCUUGCACAGCGGCGUGGUGGUGGGAGUUUAGUCCCACCUCGCUAGCUGAGAGAGAGCCGCACCUUUUUAUAAGGUGCGGUGCGCCUGAGCUGUCGAGCUCCUCUCUAAAGCAGGCUUACGGGCCUAACCUCUCUGUACAUGCCUGUGGGCCUACUGGGCCUUCUGCGGGCCUGAAUCCUGGCCCAUGGAUGGGUUUCUAAUCGUAUUCAGGCCAUGGUGGCCCAGUAGGUGGCAUAAUUUUUAAUUUUUGGCCUGUUAUUUUUCAUGCAUUUAGUAAUUAUUUUGAGCUAUAAGACCCUAAAAUUGAAAAGCAUUUCAAAUGAACUCUAAAAAGGUUGAAAUUUGGCAUGGUAUCAUCAUUUCAUCCACAUAGCAUGUGCAAGAAAAUUGAGAGGGUUACGGCAAAAACUAGAUGCACUUCGUGUACAAAACGGACAAUGGUAUCAUACUCGUCUGUUACAAAGUUGGCAUGGUAUCAUCAUAAUAGUUGCGGGAGAAAGUCUUCACUUUUUCUUCGCUUGUGUCAUUUGCAUCAUUGGGCACAUCGUCUGGUUCCUCUUGAUCUUCAGCAGCUUCCCCCGUUGCAGCAUCACCGUAUUCAGGGGGCACAUAGUUGCCAUCGUCCUCUUCUUCUUCGCCGUCUUCCAUCAUAACCCCUAUUUCUCCGUGCCUCGUCCAAACAUUAUAGUGUGGCAUGAAACCCUUGUAAAGCAGGUGGGUGUGAAGGAUUUUCCGGUCAGAAUAAGACUUCGUAUUCCCACAUAUAGGGCAUGGACAACACAUAAAACCAUUCUGCUUGUUUGCCUCAGCCACUUCGAGAAAAUCAUGCACGACCUUAAUGUACUCGGAGGUGUGUCUGUCACCGUACAUCCAUUGCCGGUUCAUCUGCGUGCAUUAUAUAUAAUUAAGUGUGUCAAAAACCAUUACAGAACAUCAUGAAUAGAUAAUUAAGUGACCAAAUUAAUAGAAGUUCAUCAUCACAUUAAAACCAAAGUACAUACAUAGUUCUCAUCUAACAACAUAUAUAUAGCUCUCCAGAGCAUCUAAUUAAUUAAACCAUACAUUGAAACUAUGUAAAACAUUUCAAUGCGAAAACAAAUGCGAUCAUAAUCGCAACCAAGGUAACAAUUGAUCCAACGGCAUAAUGAUACCAAGCCUCGGUAUGAAUGGCAUAUUUUCUAAUCUUUCUAAUCUUCAAGCGCAUUGCAUCCAUCUUGAUCUUGUGAUCAUCGACGACAUCCGCAACAUGCAACUCCAAUAUCAUCUUCUCCUCCUCAAUUUUUUUUAUUUUUUCCUUCAAGUAAUUGUUUUCUUCUUCAACUAAAUUUAACCUCUCGAUAAUAGGGUCGGUUAGAAUUUCCGGUUCAACCACCUCCUAGAUAAAUAAAAUCUAUGUCACGUUGGUCGGCAUAUUUGUCAUAAACAAUAAAUGAACCAAAUAGUUAUAAAAAGAUAAUAUAUACCACAUCCGACUCAUAGACAGGACGAGGGCCGACGGGGGCGGAUACCAAAACCAUCGCACUAUGUAAUAAGAAGGAAUAAUAAAAGUAAAAAAAUUAGACAAGUAUCUAUCUAAAGUAAGAAUUUUUUUCCUUUCAGAAAGAAGAUAAGAACAAGAGGCUCACCACGGUGGUGCUGGCGACGAGAUCGGCGCGGGCGAUCAACGGCGGUGAAGACGGGGACGGGACGUGACGGACGGCUAAACCUAGACAAAUCUCGGGGAAAAUGGAGCUCGGAGGUCGAGUUUCGAGAGGAGAAAGAUUAACUAGUGUGGCUCAAACAUUUCAUCGAACACCUCAUGUGCAUAGGAGGUGAGCUAGAGCACCCAAAUGCCCUCCCCUCGCCGGCCAGAAAAAAUAGAGCACUGUGGAGUGCUCUGCUGUGGCAACGAGGUAUAUAUAGGGAACUCAUUGGCCCCGGUUCGUGGCACCAACCGGGACUAAAGGCCUUUGGUCCCGGUUUGUGGCACCAAUCGGGACCAAUGCCCCCCUUUAGUCCCGGUUGGUGGCACCAACCGGGACCAAAGGCCUUGUGCUGCCCCGCGUCAAAAGUUUAGUCCCACCUCGCUAGUUGAGAGGGCUCGAGAGUGGUUUAUAAGCGCUGCUGCGCCCACCCUCUCGAGCUCCUUCAACUGCAAGCUUUCGGGCCUAACCGUUCUCUUUGCCUGUGGGGCCUACUGGGCCUUCUGCGGGCCUGAAUCCUGGCCCAUGGAUGGAUUUCAAGUCGUAUUCAGGCCGUGGUGGCCAAGUAGGUGGCAUAAUUUUUUUCUCGGUUUUUUGUUUUCUCUUUUGCUUUAUUUGUUUUGUUUUAUUUCUACUUACAACAAAAAACUUAUUUAUUUUAUUUCCAAUUACUUAUGUAUUUUACUUUAAUUAUUUUAUUUUUAUUUAUUUUACUGCUGCUAUUUUUAUCUAUUUUACUGCUGCUAUUUUUAUUUAAUUUAUUAAGGUUUAUUUAUUUUAGUUAUUAUAGUUUAUUUUAUUUUAUUUUAUUAAGGUUUAUUUAUUUUUAUUUAUUUUAUUAAGGUUUAUUUAUUUUAUUUACUAUAAAAAAUGAACAUAGAUGCGCCUUUAGAGAAAAUUCAACCUAAAUUCAUAAUAAAUUUCUAUGAAAUUCAAAGAAAUUUACUGUGAAUUUAGGUCAAAUUCCCUGUAUAAGGGCAUCUAUUUUCACUUUGAGAGGAGCUCAACAAGGCAGAGAGGGACGGGCUUAUAAACUGGUGUGAGCGCCCUUCGGUUGGCGAGGUGGGACUAAACACUGGCCGCAACUAGGACCAGCCCUUUAGUCCCGGUUUGUGGUAUGAACCGGGACUAAAGGGUGGUGGGCCAGGAGCGUGGCCCAUUGGUCCCGAUUUGUCCCACCAACCGGGACCAAAGGGGCCGGACAAACCGGGACCAAUGCCCCCACGAGGCCCGGCAGGCCCCUGGCCGCACGAACCGGGACCAAUGCUCGCAUUAGUCCCAGUUCGUGACUGAACCGGGACUAAUGUGGAUAUUGCCCUGUGACCAAAGCCCAGUUUUCUACUAGUGGUGGAAGGUGGGACGAAAAACAAACCAUGAUAGGUGGGACGAAAAUAAACCUGGAACGGAGACUACCAAGUACCAACUGAGGCAUUAGGAGUAGAGAUUUCCCGUGUCAUACAUGUCCAGCGAGAAGACCACAACUCCUUCUAUGUCGCGUACUAUUGUGGAGACCCUCUUUUUGGAUUUUUUUUUCAUCCGUUCACCUUCGAAAGAAUUUUUUUUCUUUCUAUUCGAGGUGGUACUAAAAUUUUAUGCGUGUAUCCGCUAGAAAAGAAAAAAGAUUUGUCCAGAGGCCGCGCACGCUCCGGCCCAAUGAAGCCAGCACACUUAUUAUUGCCCACGUAGUUGGGAAGAACUUAUUUGUUGUAUUGAGCGAUAAAUAAUUGAAGCUGCCCAUAGGACGCCUAAAACAGGGUCGGCCCAUUUCCCCUUUUUAGAUGUUCUAUUUCUAUUUUUUUCUGUUCCUUUCUCUUUCUCUUUUAUAUUUCCUCUUCCUUUUUUCCAUCUUUAUUUUUUAGUUUUUCUGUCAAAUAAAAAUUUACAAAAAUAUUCAGAAUUUGCAAAUUUUGUUCAAAUAUUGAAAAUUAGUCAGAGUUCAAAUUUUUUGUUCCUGAUUUGAAAAAUGUCCGAAACUUUUAUAAAAAUUCAUGUUUUGAAAUUUUCUCAUUUUUAAUUUUUUGUGUUUUUAAAAAAUUCUUAGAUAUUUUUUAAUAAAAACUACAUUUUAUAAAGUGUUCCAUAUAUAAAACUAUCCCUGUUUUAGUGACAUGUUCACAAAUCCAAAACAAUAGUUUUGUCUGAGAAAACAUUUUCUAAAAUGGUUUUGAAUGUUCCCCUUUUAAAAAGAUCAGAAAUUCAAAAAUAUUUGUGUGUUUUAUAAAAUUAUCAUGUUUUCAAAAAUAUUGUUUGUGAAUUUCAAAAACUAUUAAUGUUUCUAAAUUUUUUUGUUUUUCCAAAAAUAUUGGACUUUAAAAAAAAUGUCGCAUCUUUUGAAAAUUGUUUGGGAUUUAAAAAAUUGUUCACGUUUCCAAGAAUUUCGCCAAUUCAUAUUUAUGUUGAAUGUUCAAAAAAAAACCAAAAGAUAUUUCUAAUAUUACGCUAUAGUACUCCCCCCGUCCGGAAUUACGUGUCGCGAAAAUGGAUGAAAAUGGAUGUAUCUCGAACUAAAAUACGUCUAGAUACAUCCAUUUCCCCGACAAGUAUUUCUGGACGGAGGGAGUAUAUUAUUAAAUAUUCGCUGGCCAUUGGUUGGCGAUGCAUGGUCGUUCUAUGCUGGUUUACUAUAAAUGAAAGAAAUUGUAGGCACAUGCCAAUAAAAGAGAAUAUGUUGUUUGGCUUUAAUUGGAGCAAAAUGAUGGGCACUUGAGCACUAAAAUAAUCAAAGAGAAUAGACCCUAAAAAAGAAGAGACAUUCAUGCCUGAUCAUGCUAAUGAAAUGGGAUUGAUGCGUUGCAAUUAAUGAUCCACCUGGUUACGUGGUCAUAGGAUAGAGUGGUCAAAGCAACCGUGUCCCGAAGGUUGCCGUGCAGCCACCAAAUGAGGAGGCAGGCACAAUCCAAAGAUAGAGGCAGAUCCGGAGGAAAAAAGGCAUGAGUUGGGUGCUCGCCACCAAUCCGACCAACCCCACCAAUAUCGAGAUUUCCCGUGUCAUACAUGUCCAGCGAGAAGACCACAACUCCUUCUAUGCCGCGUACUAUUGUGGAGACCAUUUUUUUUGGACGACACAUCAAUUAUCUUUCCCGUUGCUUCUUACAAAAAAAAUGUCUUUCCUGUUGCAACGCACGGACAUAUAUGCUAGUAACUAUUAAGCAAUGUAUUUCGGAGCUGAUUAAUAUUUCUUUAUUAUGCAAGUACACUGCAUAAUAUAAGGCCUAAUAAAUUUAUACAUGUGAGAAAAAAAAUCUUGGGUCUUGGCAUUACUUGAUUCUUCACCACCUCUCAGUUUCAUCUAGAAAAGGAUGCCGAGAUUGACCCGGUUAAGUGGAUCAAGAUGGUUGAGAAAGAGAUCUCAUUAGAAUGUAAAAAGAAGAAUCAAAGGAAAGGUCCACGCUUAAACAAACUGGUUACAUGCAUAAAUAGAAAGGUCUGAAUAUGGACAUGUCAAUUCUUACACGGCAGGCAGAUAAAAUCAAGAUCACUAUUGCAACAACAAGAUUACACAGUUACACAAGUUGACAUAUAAUUAUAAGUUAAAUCCAAGUCGUGGCCACCACAUGUCAUAUGCGGUGAGCAAUCUAAAAAAUGUAUAUUGUAACUUAACUUAUGUUCGACGAGGGCGAAAAAUGCAUAUUGUAGCUGAAUCUAAUCAGAUCACGGAGGUGGAACCACACGUCGAGAGGUGAUAACCUUAACUUGUCUUCUCCAGUGAAGCUCACUGCUGCUCCUUUGGGUGGGUGUGUACGACAGGGAUCAGGACCAGACGCCCUCCACCGCAGGCCCCGACAAUUCUCGAUCGAGAGCGACUGUACUACAGUUGUAGAAGCAAUCAAUCACUCCCGUAGCACUCUAGCAGAGUAGAGCGGACAUCAGGGGAGGGAGGCCUAUUUAUUAUCCAAGAAACUCACAAGCAUAUCCUUUCCCAGGGCUGAAAACUACAGAGUGCAGACAGGUUUUCAACAACACUCUUGAGGAAGGAUGAUUUGACAUGCCAGCAACAUCUCCACGGUAACCAGCGCUGAUGCAAGCUUUCCAUCAGUAUGGUAUUGAAACAGAUACCUGGCAGAUGCUGAGGGAGAUGACUUAAUUCACAAUACAUAUGUCUGAAUCUGAACAAGAUAGAAAUCAAAGUUCAGCUAAGCCGAUCGACCUGGUAGUACAUUAUUUGAAGCAAACAGAAUCCAUGCCGUUUCUAUGUGGUUUCCGCCCUGCUUACUCCUGCAUGGCUUGCUGGCGCUCCCUGGCUUGUCGAGUGGCCUUCCUCCGCUCACGGACUAGCCUUGGCAUCUCCUUCCAUGUAUUCGGUUUAAGUGCCAUCACUGCACAUAUCGCAAAUGGCGUCAGAACAAACACGUACAAAUUAAUGUAACAUAAAAAUUUAUACCGGACGGAAGUAAAAUAAUGGAGAACAAACUUGGACAAACAUGCUGGCGUGGUAGAUUUAAUGGAAUGGAUGACUGCAUCUGUUUGUUAAAUGUGGCAAAGAUAGAAGGACGUGCUGCAAGCAUACCUUCAUAACGGGCAUCUAGUCCUUUGAUGUUAAUGCUGCCCAGUUGCUGCUGCAGGCAUCUAGGGAGCUUCUUUAUAGCAGGGCAGCCUGUAAUUCCAACAAAGUAGAGAGACCUGUAUACUUGCGGCUCAUUCGGCAGGGAUGCCAGGGUACUGCAUCUUUCAAGAUAAAGGUAUUCCAGCGAUGGGGGGUGCUCUCCCGACAGACACUCCAGCGAUGUCAGCCCACUGUUGCCAAUAAUGCGCAGUCUCUUGAGGGGCGCAGGCAGACGAAGAGUCCCACCCAACAUGGCAGCACAGUCCAGUAUUGCUAGAUAUUCGAGAUGGGGAGGAAGUAAAUGCUCUCUUGCAGUUGGUGCUGUUGCUGCUGGUGGCUCUGGCAUGAUAGGACUUCUGCUUAUGGAGGUAGUGGCUUCUGGAUUCUGGAGCCCACCCAGCUGACAUGAUAGGACUUGAAUGCUAUUGCAGCCAGAAAUAUAUAUGGUCUUUAAGGAUGGAGGCAGACUUAGAACCGCUUGUAAGCUUCCACAUUCGACUAAACUUAGAUCUUCUAGGCAUGGACAAAAGUGAUUCAUGGGUGAGGAUGGCAACUCUGAUACAGCUGCAGGCAUGACUGCCUCACUGCUAGAAGAUCCUUGGACUAACUCCGGCAUGCCCUGCUGCUUGCCGAAUAUGGACUCAAGCUUAUGGCACCGACGAAUAUUCAUUUCCUUGAGAGAUGCCGAAACGUUGAACAUCUCUACCAAAUUUACACAAUCAUAUAAAUAAAGGGACUCCAGACCUGGCAGGUGUUGACUCCUUUCGGACGCCAAUGGCUCAAGAGGAGCCUGUGCAUAUCCAGUCAGGUUUUCGCAGUUUCUAAUCACUAAUAUCCUCAAGGAUACCAAGCUUUGGAACACAUUCUCUGGCCAGUGGAUGAGCACAUCGCAUCUGUUAAUUACCAGCUCUCCAAGAUGUACAAAAUAGUCCCACGGCUCUAGUGCACCUGGUCCAAAGAAUGAGUUGCAGCGUCCUAACUCCAUAACUGUAAGUGGGGAUUUCUGGUUCCAUUUCUCUUUGCUGUCGACCAGUACAAUUGAAGUGCAUUCAGACUCUGAUGUUGUUUCUGUGUGUUCUAGCUUCAGUGUCAGCUUGGUCAAUGAAGACAAAUACCUGUCUACACAGUGGAAGAUCUCUUGCUUCCCAUCUUCAAUUUCGAAUAAACUGAGUUUUGGUGCUUUGGGCAAUGCUACCAGUUUUGGGCAUUUCUGGACUGACAGUUUCUCAAGCUCAGGAAACAAUGUCCCUUCAACUGCAUCCCAUCUCUGAAAGCUCUCCAAGUCUUCCAUUUUGAGCACCUUGAGGGCAGGAAAGGCUGAACGUACCAAUCUAUAACCACCUCCACUACAUGGUUCUUCAAGCAAUGGUGCUUCAGGUAAAUUUAUCAGCUUUGGGCAUUUCUCAAUUGACAGUUCCUCUAGACAAGGAAACAAUAUAUGUUCUCCUUGAGUCUCUUCGACUGCAUCCCAUCUCUGAAAGCUCUCCAACUCUUUCAUUUUGAGUACCUUUAGGGCAGGAAACGCUGAGCGUACCAAUGUAUAACCACCUUCACCACAAGGUCCUUGCAGCAAUGGUGCUUCAGGUAAUGCUACCAACUUUCCACAAUUACUAAUAAACAACUUCUCAAGCACAGGAAAUAUUGUUUGUUCUUCUUGCCUCUCAUCUAUUUCCGGCCAUCUUUCAAAACCCAACAGAUGUUCUAGCAUAAGCACCUUCAGUUUUGGAAAAGUGAGGAUUGUACUGCAUUUGAACAAAAAUUGCAAUCUUUCACAAUGAAAAAGAUGGAUCUCAACCAUGUUCUGCAACAUACCCAUGCACUCUCCUCCAUAGGAAUAUAUCUUCAGAACCUGCAGCCCAACAUGAGGUUCAAAAUUGUUGAGCACCUUGCUGACACAAACAGAGCUCCAUCUUAAUGUCAGUUCUCUGAGAUCCUUCUUUUUACCGAAAUCUGCCACUUUCGCUUCUGUUUCUAUAUCGAUAUUCUCUAACUGGCAUAGCUCUAGCUGCCCACCAAGGUUUAAAUGCUGCAGCUCUCCAACAUCACUGCAAUCAGGACCAGGAACUCCUGCCACAAACCAUGUCAGCGUCUGUAGGUUAGUGAGUUUUCCUAGUCCUGGAGGCAUGCUCUUCAACCCCGGACAUCCAUGAGUGUAGAGGUGACGGAGGAAAGUCAUAUACUUCAUUUGCAUUGGAAGUCGUUCAAGAUAACGGCAGUCGGAAAGGUCCAACACUUGCAGGUUAUAUAGAAUACUUAUAUCCUCAGGAAGUGCUUCGAUAUCACUCCACGAGAGAUCAAGGUACCUCAGGUGAUGCAGAUACUUUGGUUUGAGCGGAAAUGAUUCUGUUCCCAGACAGAGCUUCAAGGCAUGCAAAGAGCUAUAUUUUGAUAGAUGCUUCAAUGAGCUUUGAAUAGGACUAUCGCAUAUCAGUGUUUGAAUGGCAGGGGACUUUUUCUCCAAAGAAUCAUUCAAAAUACCUUCUGUUUCAUCACAUGACAAGAACAAAUGCCGAGCAGUAUCCGAAAGCCACUCAAUUUGACUUGGUUCCUUAAUUGCAACGACACAUUCCUUUCCCAUAACAGACAUUGCAAUAUCAUGCAUAAGAUCAUGGAUUUUGCAUGUAGUUCUGAAACAGUACUGCUGAUUUUGCAUGUCACCCUUAAAUUCCUCUAUGUCCAGAAAGAAUGACCUUGAUGCUAGCUCACUGAAAAUAUGUUUGCCAACGGUUUCAAGACUAUCUUCCUCCUGUUCUGGGAUAAAGCCAUUUGCAAUCCAAAGUUGGAUAAGCUUCUCCACAUUAAUCUUGUAAUCCUUGGGAAAUAUGGCACAGAAAGCAAAGCAUUGCUUCAUGUGUGCUGGCAAAUCGUUGUAGCUAAGCUUGAGUAUUGGCAAAAUUCCCGUUUCCUCAGUGCAGAUACUGCUUCUAGAUGAUACAACCUUCCAUUCUUCUACGCUGGUCUUGGUACGAAGUACAGAGCCCAGUGCAGUUGCAGCUAAAGGAGAGCCACGACAUCUCUUCACAAUCUCACCAACCAUCUCGAGCAGCUCGGGAGGCUUUUCAUUCUCUGAACUGAAUGCUCUAUCCACAAUAAUUUCCUCUAUGAAGUAAUCCUGCAAAACAUUGAGAUUGUAGGUUCUAUCUACACCCAUAGUUUCAGCAACUUGUUUAUCACGGGUUGUUGUCAACACUGCACUACCCAUGCCACCCUGUUGAAGACAGACCUUCAGCCUUUCCCACUUAUGGACCUCUCUGUUCCAGACAUCAUCCAAUACAAGGAGAUACCUCUGCCCGCUGACCAGUUUUUGAAGUCUAUCCAGUGCUGGUUUGUUUGUAUCAUCAUUUUUCUUGGGGGAUGCUUCAACUAUACUCUUAGCCACCGAAUUCACAUCAAAGGUAUCAGAGAUGCAGACCCAGAGCUGCAACGGAAAAUGCUUCUGAAUUUCAGGUUCAUUGUAUAUGAGUUGCGCCAAUGUGGUCUUGCCAAGGCCCCCCAUUCCAACAAUGGGAACUACUGCAAGAUUUGCAUUGCUAGCUUCACCAAGUAGCACCUUAAUGAUAUUAUUCUUAUCUUCGCGCCUGGAUCUGCUGGCAAUUUCUUGUGGGUCGAUGAUGACAUAAUCUGUGUGCCUCCACUCCUUGGACACUGGUGUCUGCCUCAACUGAUUGGACACCAACAAUGUCUGCCUCAACCCAAAGUCAUGCAUCUCUGCAAUGAGGAAAUUGACGCGGCGCAGAAGCAGGAGGCGACUCCGGUGAAGUUAUGGCGGCCGGCGCCGAACGGUACACACACGGCACAAGACAGUGGAACACAAGGGCUGUGCAGAAUGGUGAGAAGAGUGGUGUGAGCACAGGUGCAGGUGCAGAAUGGAGAAGAGAAUGGUGUGAGCAAGUCGUGCUUGGCUUUCUGUUAACCAAUCACAACUACCCAAUCUUGCAACGUUAACAGCUGGUGUGAGCACUUGGCAUUCUUUUUGGGCAUACCACGUUAACAGCUGGGGGUAUCUUUUUUUCUUAGUAGGGACAGCUGGAGCACCAGACAACCAGAAUAUUGCAAGUGGGUCAUUAUAAUUGAUAUUUAUAUGCCAGUAGAACCAAUGCAGUUUUUCAAAAUUUGCGUUCCACUGGCUGUGAAGUUAGCAAAUACGAUUUACUUUUUCCAAAUACAAAAAGUCGCAGAAAUGCAAAUCUAAAAAUUACCUGCGUGAGACAGCAUACCUAUUUGUGCAAAAGACAAUUCAUCUCGGAGUUUCUGCCACAGAGGGAAGGCCAAAACUUUGGUUUUCUUAAUUGGUUGAAUCUUGAAUGCAUCACAUGCCUCCUGCUGAAGAGAGAAAACCCAGAAACGGCUUUGAGAGCUACAAAGGAACGCCUGUAUUUUUUGUGUUAAUAUUGCCAAUAAUGGUGGAUGGAUCUAGCUGGUAUUUCUAGUUUCUUUUUCAAGAAUACGCUCAGGUCAUCACACAGGUCAUUUAUUUGCACCAGCUGGUUGGUGCACUGCCCCUUCUCUCGAAAUGUGCUUUCAAAAUUCAAACACCUCAUUAAGUGUACAUUUUGAUAUACUAAAGUGCAUAUCAGCAGGAAAAACACAAAUCAUCGCUGGCAUGUCCUUAAGAACUCUGGACUUUUUGGGAGAUUAGAGGAGCAUAUUUUCAGAAUUAGCACAGAUUAGCACAGUCCUCAUGGUGAGAACAACAUAUCCCAAAUUGCCAAUAAAAAUACUACACAGAUUAGCACAAGCACACUGCAGAACGGAGAAGAGAAUGGUGUGAACAAGACUGUGCUUGGUUUGCGUGUGAGAAAAACGGAAGAGCAUUGACUUUCUGGGAGCCAAGUGGCUGAGCUUGAUUUCUCGGAACCAACCACAACUAUCUAAUUUUGCAACAUCUCGGCACUGGGCAUUCUUCCUGAGCUGACAUGAAAUAAGGCAGCUAGCACUGCAUACCAACAGCUCGGGGUAUCUUCAUUUCUUUGCAAGUAUAUCAUUAUAUAAUGUAUGUUAGAUCCAAUGCAGUUUUUCAAAAGUGACAAUGCAUUGGAUGUGAACUCAGCAAACGGUAAGAAUUUCUUUCCAUGUACAAGAAGCUGCAGGAAUGCAAAUUAAACAAUUACCUCCACCGACGGGUGACAACAGACAUACAGUGCACCUACAAAACACAAUCCAUCUCUAAUUAACGCAUAACAUGCUUCCUGCUGAAGAUAGAAGACCCGGAGGCAAGUGGUUAUUUUCUUGUCCAUUUCUAAUGACACCUCUAAUUAACAUUGCAGGGGGCAGGAUCGAUCUCAAAGAGUAGCAUAAUCAGCUGCAGAUGAUUAUCACUUGUUCAUAUGGGCAAAUGAUAUACUUAACAUACGGAUAUGAUAAGACACAACUAGACAAUCUCCUAUUAUUUGACGAUGGAAGAUAUGUACGAGUAUACGAUACAAUUUGAUGAACCUAUUAGGUUCCAUUACUGUGAGACAGUGAAAACCAGAAUAAAGGGCUGUAUGGAGUUUUUUUAUCAGCCUAACGGGGUCGGCUUAAGUAACUAAAAUAAGAUGAAGCCUAACUUUUCAACCAUACAAGCAACAAAGUUAAAGACAGUGAGCUAAAACAAUAGUCGCGUAUACCUUAAAAGAUAAAUUCCCAGUGCCUUUUUAUUGAUCAUCACUGCGUAUGGCCAUAUAAUUUGCUAUUAGAUCAUCAUUAUAUUAUAUAUUUACGUCGGUAGUCGGUACAUACAAUGCAGUUUAUCAAAAGUGACAAUGCAUCCGCUGUGACCAAAGCAAAUAGUACAAAUUUUAUUUCCAAUUACCGAAGGUCGAGGAGUGCAAAUUAAACAAUUACCUCCACCGACGGGUGACAGCACACAUACAGUACACCUACAAAAUACAAUUCAUCUCGAGGACCACAAUAUUGGUUUUCGUGAAUUAUUGAAACUUGAAUGCAUCACAUGCUUUCUGCUGAUGAGAGAAGACCCGGGGGCAAGUGGUUAUUUUCUUGUCUUUUAUAAUGACACCUCUAAUUAACAUUGAAGGGACAGGAUCGGCUCUCAAAGAUAAGAAUAAUCAGCUGGCAGAUGAUUAUCUCUUGUGCAUAUGGACAGAUGAUAUAUACUUUUGUACUGAUAUGCUAAUUCAUGUUUUUCGACAAUGAAUGAUAUGUAUGAGUAUGAGAUACAAUUUUGACGAGCUUAAUAGGUUCUAUUAUUGUGAGGCAGGAACUUAUGGAGUUCUUAUUAUCAACUUAAUGAGAUCCGCUCAUAACCAACUAAAAUCAGAUGAAACCCAACCUUUUAACCAUACAACGGAGGCAGCAGAAAUAAAGAUAGAGAGCUUAACGAGAUCCGCUUAACUAACUAAAAUCAGAUGAAACCUAACUUUUUAACCAUACAAUGGAAGACAAGGGCAGUGCAGAAUGGAGAAAAGAAUGGUGAAAACACAAAUGCGGUGCAGAAUGGAGAAGAGAAUGGUGAGAGCAAGAUGUGCUUGCCUGUAAGGAAAAUGGAAGCCAACGUGAGUGUUGACUUUCUGUGAGCCAAGUGGAUGAGUUUGAUUUUCAGUAACCAAUCAGAACUAUCCACUCUUGCAACAGCUCAGCAUUAGCUGGGCAUUCUUUUUGGGAACACCACGUUAACAGCUGGGCAUAUCUUCAUUUCUUAAUAAGGCACAGCGACAAAGACAACCAGAAUAUUGCAAGUAGAUCAUUAUAUUAGGUAUUUAUAUGCCAGUACAUUGCUUGGCUGUGAACUUAGCAAAUACGAUUUUCUUUUUGCAAAUAUACAAAAGGUCACAGGAAUGCAAAUCUAAAAAUUACCUCAACUGACUAGACGUGUGACAGGAUACCUACUUGUGCAAAACACAAUUCAUCUUAGAGUUGCUGCCAAGGAGGGAGGGCCGGAGUAUUGGUUUUCUUGAUUGGUUGAAUCUUGAAUGCAUCACAUGCUUCGAUUCCCGCUGAAGAGAGAAGACCCAGAAAUGGCUUUUAGAGCCCGGAAGCAACGCCUGUAUUUUUUUUAUAUUGGCAAUAAUGGUGGAUGGAUCUAGCUGGUAUUUCGGGUUUCUUUUUCAGAAUACGCUCAGGUCGUCUCACAGGUCAUUUAUUUGCCCCAGCUGGUUGGUGCACUGUCCCUCUCUCUAAAUGUGACUUCAAAAUUAAAACAUCUAAUUAAGUGUACAUUUUGAUAUACCAAAGUGCAUAUCAGCAGGAAAAACACAAAUCAGCACUGGCAUGUUCUUAAGAACUCUGACCCUUUUGGGUUUUGUACAUAAUAUUGUGGGAGACUAGGGGAAGCAUAUUUUCAGAAUUAGCACAGAUUAGCACAGUAGUAAUUUACGUCAGUACAUAGAAUUUCUGAGCAAGCACAGUGCAGAAUGGAGAAGAGAAUGGUGUGAGCAAGCCAUGUUUGGCUUGCGUGUAAGGAAAAUGGAAGCCAGAAUGAGCAUUGACUUUCUGGGAGCCAAGUGGACGAGCUUGAUUUCUGGGAACCAAUCACAAACUAUCCGAUCUUGCAUACCGUAUUAGCUGGUGACAGCACUGGGUACCUUCAUUUCUUAAUAGGCAAAAGCUUGACAAACCCUCUUAUUGCAAGUCAGAAUGAAGAUUUCUCAUUCUUAAUAUCGCAAGUAGGUCAUUAUAUUACGUAUUUACGUCAGUACAUCCAAUGCAGUUUUUCAGAAAUGACCAUGCAUUGGCUGUGAACUCGGAAAAUAGUAAGAAUUUUCUUUCCAAAUACAAGAAGUCGCAGGAAUGCAAAUUAAACAAUUACCUCAACUGACGGGUGACAGCACGCAUACAUUGCACCUACCAAAUACUACCUCCGUUCCAUAAUAUAAGAGUGUUUUUUACACUAUUGUAGUGUCAAAAACGCUCUUGUAUUAUGGGACGGAGGGAGUACAAUUCAUCUCGAGGACAACGACAUUGGUUUUAGUGAAUUCAUUGAAACAUGAAUGCAUCACAUGCUUUCUGCGGACGAGAGAAAACCCGGGGGCAAGUGGUUAUUUUCUUACCUUUUUUAAUGACACCUAUAAUUAACAUUGAGUUAACUGGGCAAUUCUCUUCUCCUUAAUUAAUCGAUGAGGCAAAUCUUUUGCCUCCGUUUCGAAAAAAUAAUAAUAAUUAACAUUGAGUACAGGAUCGGAUCUCAAAGAUAAGAAUAAUCGGCUGGCAGAUGAUUAUCUCUUCUGUAUGUGGACAAAUGAUAUAUACUUUUGUACUGAUAUGAUAAUUUACGUUAUUCAAUGAUGAAAGGUAUGUAUGAUUAUGAGAUACAACUUCGACGAGCUUAAUAGGUUCUGUUAUUUUGAGGCAGUGAAGACCAGAAUAAAGGACUGUAUGGAGUUCUUGUCCUUUAUUAACAAGGUCCGCUUAACAAACUAAAAUCAGAUGAAACCUAACUUUUUAAUCAUACAAUGGAGGCAGCAAAAAUAAAGAUAAAGAGCUUAACGAGAUCCGCUUAUAACUAACUAAAAAUCAGCUGAAACCUAACUUUUUAACCAUACAACGGAGGCAGCAAAAAUAAAUACAGAGAGCUAAAAAAAUAGUGACGUAUACAUUAGAAGAUAAAUUCCAGUGCCCUUUUAUUGAUCAUCACUGCCUAUGGCCAUAUAAUUUGCUAUUAGAUCAUCAUGAUAUUAAUAUAUUUAUGUCGGUACAUCCAAUGCAGUUUUUCAAAAGUGAAGAUACAUUGCCCGUGAACUCAGCAAAUAGGAGUGUUCUUUCCAGAUACAAGAAGUUGCAGCAAUGCAAGCUAAACAAUUACCUCCACUGCUGGGUGACCACAGGGAGGACCACAAUAUUGGUUUUCGUGAAUCUUGAAUGCAUCACAUGCUUCCUGCUGAAGAGAGAAGACCCGGUGGCAAGUGAUUAAUUUUUCUUGUCCUUUAUUAAUGACACCUCUAACUAACAUUGAAGGGGCAUGAUCGAGCUCAGAGAUUAGCAUAAUAAGCUGGCAGAUGACCAUCCCUUGCUCAUAUGGACAAAGGAUACACUUAAUAUACUGAUAUGAUAAAAACACAGCUUGACAAUCUCCUGUUAUUCGAAGAUGAAAGAUAUGUAUGAGUAUGCGAUACAAUUUGUGGGUUUUCUUUAUUUUUGAGACAUACAAUUUGGUGAGCUUAAUAUGUUCCGUUAUUGUGAGACAUUGAAAAGCGGAAUAAAGGGCCAUGUGGAAUUCUUUUUAUCAGAUUAACGAGAUCGUCUUCACUAACUAAAAUCAGAUGAAGCCUAACUUUGCAACCAUACAACGGAAGCAACAAAAAUACAGACAGAGACCUCGAACAACAGUGGCCAUAUGAAUGAGAUCUGGGACUCGGCCAUAUGAACAACAGUGAAGAUAAAUUCCAGUGUCCUUUUAUUGAUCGCUGCCUAUGCCCAUAUAAAUGAGAUCUGGGACUCAGCCCGCUCCAACAUGGCUCUAGAAAGCACAUUUCCUCUGACGCACAUAUGAAAUACGACAGUACAAAACAGAACAAACACUGAGAUUAUAAUUAUACAGAUGACUGGAUGCUGUAACUAACUUGGAUAUCGCUGCACCGAAGACGGACUUUCUUCUCAGACAUCAGAGAGAAACGGAAUGUCCAUGCCAACUGCUUCUCCUCGACUCCACCUGCACAGCGCGCAUAGGCGGAAAUUUGAUGAUUAUUUGAAGUGACAUACACAUAAAGCACAGAGUUACUCAGCUAACAAAGCACGUAUGUACAUCGCUGUCAGGCUGAAUCCUGCUUCCUGACAAUCGGAAUUCAUGUGAAUCGAAUCGCUGGAAGAGACGGACAGACAGGAUCGAUACCUUGUGUCCACGGCGAGGCCUGAGUGGCUGCCGUCGACGUACGACCCGCAACCGACGGAGGAGCUCCGGGACCUUCUUGUCGAGACCAUCUGCAAUGGAAGUAAAAAAGAGCUGUUAGAAGAGGAUCCGAAAGAGGUUGAUGGUAGGAAGGAAUGGGAAGGGGAACGAGUGGGUGCCUCGAGCGGCCGCGGUGGUGGUGGGCGGGCGGAUGCGGAGGGUGGGAGGGAGGCUGACACCUCCGCCGCCACAGACGUACGUGGAGCGGCCGCGGGCGGUGGGAUCCGGGAGAGGCUGCGGCGGCGAGCGGUCCGGCCGGCGAGGAGGACGGGGAAGGGAGAGACGAAGACGACGCAGAUCGGCGGAAUGUGGGCUGGGCUUGUGACUUUGAGGCCUCCGAAAACUAUAGCCCAGUUCGAAUUGGUGCCCUAACACACACAACACUUACGUUGGGCCUAAUCGCUCGCUCCUGCCCCUGCUCAAAAUUUUUUUUGCUCCAGGCUGGGGGCCUCUGUUCCACCCCCAUCUAUCGCUCCACCUCCAAACAAAAAAAAAAUCUAUCACUCCACCUCCACUCCAAAAAUAUAAAAUUCUAUCAAUCCACCUACGCCUCGAAAAAAGAAAUCUAUCACUCCACCUCAGCAUUGAUGUCUCUAGCUUGUAGAAACUGCCAUCCUUUACAUGUAAAACGGAUUCGAUGAGUCAUGUCAUGCUCUAUAGACGUCAGUUCAUCUUAUCAUCUUACAGGAAAGUACAAAGUUAGUUUUCUGAAAAGCAACCGAAUAUAGAAGAACACUCCACACUCAAGGCUUUACUAAUCGAGCAUAUCCUAACAGCCCACACAUGAUUGCAAACUUAGUCAUACACAAGUUUUGCCUUUCUUGUUUACGGCUGACAGCCUAUACAAGGUUCCAAACUCGGUUGUAAAAGUGAUACUAUCUUGAUAAGUGUGUGACAUGUAAAGUUAAUAAGGUGAGUCAUAUAUAGCAAAUAUCGGGGUUUCUGUACUUUGUGUGUGAUCGUAUGCACAACUAAAAAUCAACUUUGAUGAUCAAUAUAUCCAAAAGUACGCUUGUAGCUAGUGCAAACCUAACCCAAUGUAACAAAAUAAUUCAUUUCAGAUGGAGCCAAACAGAAUUAUUAAAGCUGAUGCAAAGAAGGAAAAGAGGUGGUUCCUGGGCUACUAUAAAUAGGCAUGAAGUAUAAAGAUCAUCACAAGCACAAGCAUCAGAACCAAGCAACACUAGUUAACACCAAUCCACCAUGAAGACCUUCCUCGUCUUUGCCCUCCUCGCCGUUGCGGCGACAAGUGCAAUUGCGCAGAUGGAGACUAGAUGCAUCCCUGGUUUGGAGAGACCAUGGCAGCAGCAACCAUUACCACCACAACAGACAUUUCCACAACAACCACUAUUUUCACAACAACAACAACAACAACUAUUUCCUCAACAACCAUCAUUUUCGCAGCAACAACCACCAUUUUGGCAGCAACAACCACCAUUUUCUCAGCAACAACCAAUUCUACCACAGCAACCACCAUUUUCGCAGCAACAACAACUAGUUCUACCGCAACAACCACCAUUUUCACAGCAACAACAACCAGUUUUACCUCCACAACAAUCACCUUUUCCACAACAACAACAACAACACCAACAGCUGGUGCAACAACAAAUCCCUGUUGUUCAGCCAUCCAUUUUGCAGCAGCUAAACCCAUGCAAGGUAUUCCUCCAGCAGCAGUGCAGCCCUGUGGCAAUGCCACAACGUCUUGCUAGGUCGCAAAUGUUGCAGCAGAGCAGUUGCCAUGUGAUGCAACAACAAUGUUGCCAGCAGUUGCCGCAAAUCCCCCAGCAAUCCCGCUAUGAGGCAAUCCGUGCUAUCAUCUACUCCAUCAUCCUGCAAGAACAACAACAGGUUCAGGGUUCCAUCCAAUCUCAGCAGCAGCAACCCCAACAGUUGGGCCAAUGUGUUUCCCAACCCCAACAGCAGUCGCAGCAGCAACUCGGGCAACAACCUCAACAACAACAAUUGGCACAGGGUACCUUUUUGCAGCCACACCAGAUAGCUCAGCUUGAGGUGAUGACUUCCAUUGCGCUCCGUAUCCUGCCAACGAUGUGCAGUGUUAAUGUGCCGUUGUACAGAACCACCACUAGUGUGCCAUUCGGCGUUGGCACCGGAGUUGGUGCCUACUGAUAAGGAAAGAUCUCUAGUAAUAUAUAAUUGGGUCACCGUUGUUUAGUCGAUGGAUAUGUCGAUGCAGCGGUGACAAAUAAAGUGUCACACAAUGUCAUGUGUGACCCGCCCAAACUAGUUGUUUAAAUUCUGAAAUAAAAUAAAAAUAAAGUUGUAUCAAGACAAUGUUCAUAUUGGCAUUGUGUGGAUGUCAAUCUGAUUGCCAUGCUUGCAAGUUCAUAAGUUUGUCUUUCCUUGUCACAAGCGCAACCUGGUGCCUUAAUUAAUUAUCAAUGUACUGGAAUAAUCACUAUUUAAAUAUAAUAGUGUCACUGUAAAAUUUGGGUUGAACUCUUUAUUGGUUGGAGAUUUGAGAUCUUGUUUUUUAUUGGUUUGUAUCUAGUACCAACUAGUACCACUGUCUACAGUGACAAUCACAACCAGUUUUGUUGCUAAUUAUGUUUGCUUUCUUGCAAAUACAUUCAUUGAUUCUUUGCAUGUCAAAUUAUUUGCCGAGAAAAAUACCAGCUUUUUCUUGAACUUCACAAACACCACUAGCUAGUUAAUUUGAAAUAAGCUGCCAAUUUAUUUCCUUGUAUUUAUGCCCUUUACAUCGAACCAGUACAAUCAUUGUGCUAGCUAGAGAAAAGGAGUUGCUGGCACGUUCAUGUCUAGAACUAAAUCAGACUGAAUUGAACUUGUUCUUUACAACUAGCUAGGAGCAGAAAACUUACUGUGAAUUGCACUUGAUUAUAUUUGAUUUUGUUUAAGAGCUACAGGGAAAAAUCAUCAAAAAAUGCCCUAAAAUAUCUUAUCGUAAAAUAGGUUCACCAGGAGAUACAGUCGCAAGAAAAAAAAGGCUCACCAGGAGAUAGAUGCUGCACAUUAUCAUUUAGAAAUUAGACCAAGAGAAAUGUGGAUUUGGCGGCUCAUAAUUCUAUAAGACUAUAACAGGUUGUCCAAUCAUUUAGAAAUUAGAUCAAGAAAAUGUGGAACUAAACAUAUUAAUGGCUAGGAUCAUAUUUGCACUGUGGGAACUUGGUAUGCGCGCUCCAACAUGCCCGUUGAAAGCAUUUUUUCCUCUGAUGCACAUAUGAAAUAUGACUGGUCGAAAACAGAAGAAACAGUGAGAUAAUAUGGAUGCUUGGAUGUUGUAACAAACAUAAACUUAUUAUAUAUAUAUCCAAUCCACCGAGCGGACGAACAUCCUAGGAGCUUUUCUCUCGGAGAUCGAAAAGAAACGAAAUGUCCACGCCAACUGCUUCUUCUCCAUCUGUAUAACGCGUGUAGGAGAAUUAUUUUGAUGAUUAUUUGAAGUGGCAUCCACAUAGAGUACAAAGCUAUUCAGCUAGAAAAGCCACAAAUGUACAUCACUUUUAGCCUACAUGACUGAACUCUGCUCCAUGACCUUCUUGAUUCAUGCGGCUCCUGAAUUCAUGUGAAUCGAAUCGCGGAAGAGAUAGGCUUUCAGGGUCAAUACCUCAUGUUCAUGGGAAGGCCGGAGAGGCUGCGUCGAUGUGCAGCCUGAACCCGAGGAGGAGCUCCGUGUCGGUGUCAAAACCGGCGGAUCUCGGGUAGGGGUCCCGAAUUGUGCGUCUAGGAUCGAUGGUAACAGGAGACGGGGGACACGAUGUUUACCCAGGUUCGGGCCCUCUCUAUGGAGGUAAUACCCUACUUCCUGCUUGAUUGAUCUUGAUGAAUAUGGGUGUUACAAGAGUUGAUCUACCAUGAGAUCGUAAUGGCUAAACCCUAGAAGUCUAGCCUAUGUGUAUACGGUAAUGAAUGUCCCCUAUCCGGACUAUGCUCUCCGGUUUAUAUAAACACCGGAGAGAUCUAGGGUUACAUGGAGUCGGUUACAUAAGAAGGAAUCUUCACAGCUGGUCACCUAGCUUGCGUUCCACGCCAAGGGAAGUCCAAUCCGUACACGGGUGUAGUCUUCGGCCUUCGUAUCUUCACAGCCCAUCAGUCCGGCCCAAUGAAUAAUAGGCCGGACGCCCGAGGACCCCUUAGUCCAGGACUCCCUCAGUAGCCCCUGAACCUGGCUUCAAUGACGAGGAGUCUGGCGCGCAGAUUGUCUUCGGCAUUGCAAGGUGGGUUCCCUCCUUCCGAAUUCCGGAAUAGUCUUCGGAUGCAGUAGAUAUAUUUGGACCUGUGUAUAUAAUUGCAAAAAAUACAAUAUUCCACGAGUCUAAUUUGUUGAUAACUGUUUACAACAUCGCAUCACGCCUGCCCGGUUACUAUUUCCAACCGUUGGCUGGCACGUCGCCCCACGUCUCGGGACGCGGUUUUACUGGCACGUCUUGCCAAGGCAGAGAUCGUGUUCCCUUAUUCACGGGACUUUCAUUAAUGCAAGCGUGGGUAACCCAACCGUCCCCUGGGUACAACUCUCUGGGGAUAGGUAAGUUUCGAGACCCAGGUGGAUACCCUUAGUAUUUGGGGUCUUUAUAUAGGGCCCCAGACUCGUCUUCUUCCUUUGCGCUUGCUUCUUCCUCAACCCUAGCCACCCCAAGUUCCAACCCUCGGGUUCCCAUCGCCACCAGCCCUAAUCAUGUCCGAAUCCAGCCGUCAAGGCCGGUGGGUGGCUUCUUCUAUCACAGAGGAGGAUAUUGCAAAGCUCUGCGCAGUGAGGUAUCUGACCCCGGAAAUCCUUCAUCAGCUUCCUGCACAGGGGCAGGUCGUUCCUACCCCCAAAUCCGGCGAGAGGGUAGUGUUUGUGUCCCACUUCCUCCAUGGGUUAGGUUUCGCGCUUAACCCCUUCGUCCGGGGGCUCAUGUUCUACUAUGGGCUAGACUUUCACGAUCUAGCCCCGGACUCUAUUCUUCUCAUCUCGACAUUUAUCGUCACGUGUGAGGCCUUCCUUCGGACUCCUCCGCACUUUGGUUUGUGGCUCAAGACCUUUGAUGUGAGGCCGCAGGUGACAGAGGAGGAGCAGGCAGAGUGUGGCAGCGUCACAAUAGGCAAGCUUGCCAGCGCGGUUUGGUUUGAAGGAUCUUUCACCAAGUCUUCCGACCUAUGGCAGCACGGGUGGUUUUAUAUCAACGAGCCGCGGGGCUCCAAGUGGGAGGCUACGCCUGCGUUCCGACCCGGCCCUCCAAUUCAGCUCGCUUCAUGGAUCAAUAAGGGACUGGACUGGGGAUCCGUCAAUGAAAUGCAGACUCUGCAAGGUCGCAUCCGAAGCCUUACCAAGAAGGGCAUCGGUCUUGUGAACGUCGUUCAAGUAAUGCUAGUCCGCCGGACCCUGCCAUGUCAGCGGCGGCCUCUCCGUAUGUGGGAGUUUAAUUCAGAAGGGCAGCGGCCUCUUCAGCACUUCUUCGGCACCACGCACGAAGGAAUGUGGAAAUUAUAUUUCGGGGAACGAGAGCAAUGGCCGGACACCACCGAAGAUGUCGGCCUUGACUGCAAUCAUCCAGACACCGCGGUAAGUACUCAAACGCUGAACACAUUCAAGCAUCUCUUGACAACAUACUGAACAAUCCGUCCCUAUACAGGACUGGAUAAAGAAAGCAGUGUUAAUCUGGUGUCCGGCGCCCCUUCCCGAAGACUCUGCGACCGCCCUGCUGACGAGAAUGCUGAUUCCCACACCGUACCAGGUUUCUGCGGAGGAGGGCGAGAGCGGGGAACCCGAAGGUGAUACCCGCCCUGAGGACGAAUUAGACAUUGUGUUCGGGGAAACCGAAACUCUUUUGCCCAAGGGCAAAGGUGCGGAGGAAGCUCUCCAUGGCAAAAAGAGGGCUGCUUCCGAAGAUCAGGAGGGGAAGCCUUCCAAGAGAGGAAAAAUGCCAUCGUCGGGCAGUUUGGGCCGGCCAAGCGAUGCUGCCGUAAGGCUUUCUGGCGAGGACGAACCUCUGGCCAAACCGUAAGUGAGGCUGGGGCACUUUAAACAUACCUCAUUCUUUUCCUAUUAGUGAAGUAAUCAUCCGACAUAUGCACAUCCACGUAGGUUAACGCCUGGUGUUUCUCAAUCAUCCUCCUCCUCGGGAGACCUUCUUCCGGAGAUGAUGGAGAGUGACACGCCAUCUCCGGCUUCUUCGCGCAACAGGGGGGAUGAUACCGAGGUAUCGUCCCGAAGGGCUCCUCCCCAUCGUCAAGCGGUGCAGGAAACGGAGAAGGCGUUACCCGAAGGUGGUGCCUCUGUCACCCAGGGUUCGGGAAUCAAGAAUGACGGCCCCGAACCAUCCGGUUUACAGCCGGAGAUGAUUCUGGGGGAGAAUAAGCAGAUUAAUUCAAAGGAAUGCCGUACUCCGGCGGCGGUUUCCGAAGACCCCGGAGCGCCGGAAAUGUUGACGGACAUGCUGCGGCGAGCGUCCAUUUCAGAGAAGCACCAUGCCUUGAUGGUUACGGUGGUCGAAAAGGUUCUAUCCGCGAAAAGCGGAUUGAACGAGGCCUUCUGGAGCCUUCUAAGAGGUUUUGAGGUUUGUGAUGUAGUUUUGCCAAUUGAAUGAUUUUGACAGAAUGCACUUGUUGUAUAUGCAGUAGCCCCUGAGACUCGGAUUGCCUUCCGAAGGAAGCGAUCGGAGGAUAAAAAAGAUAUGCUCAGUUACUAACCUUGAAUCAACUUGGAAUACAGGCUGCCUCGCCUCCUGCGGCUACCCGAAAUACGGAAGUGGCCGAACUGCAGCGAAAGCUGAAUAUUGCAGAAGAUGACAUUGCAUUGAUCAACAAGCGUCUUGACGACUCGCAAGGUAUAUAGUUCGAGCAUUCCUUACACGAAUGUUCUUGUAAUGUAGGCCUGACGCCGAAAAGGGUUUAAUGUGCAUGAUUGCAGAUGGUGUUCCCUCCGUUGAAGCUCCUUGUGAGGAGCUAGCCCGGCCCAAGGAGCAGGCCCGGUGUAGUGAUGCGGCUGCCGAGAAGGCAUCGGCUGAUCUAAGAGCCGAAUAAGCAGCUCGGCGCCGAAGUGAGGAGAAAAUAUCCGCACUGGCGCUUGAAUUGAAGAAUACUGCCAGCCACUGUGAAUUCCUUGAGAAGGAGAAUAAAGCCAAAAUGGCUGAACUUGAUAAGGCCGUUCGAGAGGCGAGUGAAGCUCGGUCUGAAUCUAGGGCAGCUUGGGAAGAGAUUCGGCAGGCUAAGGAGAUAGCGGCCGGUAAGCCCUUUUUGCUUCAGACUAAGUUUGGCGAUCCGGACUAUGCUCAGCUAAACCAGGUCUGGAGUUCUCCGACUGAAUUUUUGGACUUGCCGAAGAGUUCUUCCAAUGCAGCGCAAUUUUACCAAGCGCAAGAGGGGUAUGCGAUGGAGAAGCUUUUCUGGUCACAAUUUGGCGCCUCAAAGCGCCCUCUGUUGCUAAAUGAACAGAUGUCCCAGUGGGCCGAGCUUCAUAGGAUAUCCGGCGACGCCAUGAAGAACGUCAUAAUCCGGUUGUGGCCGAGUGAGCCUGUUCCCAAGAGCUAUUUUGGCCUGGUGCGGCGUCUUGUUGAUGCUGUGCCGCGUAUCGAUGCUGCGAAGCGGUCGGCAUGCACUGAGGGUGCACGGAUGGCCUUUGCCCGAGUCAAGACGUUCUGGGGGAAGAUGAAGGCCAUCGAUGUUGCGGCGAAGGGUCCGCCCAAGGGCAAGGACCGUAAUGAGCCGGAGCAUUAUUUUGAAGACGUCCUAGAAGCCGCCCGCCUGAUAGAGGGUCAAUGCUCGAAGAACAUAAUGUUCGAGUGAGGUGUAUUAGAAUUGUAAAAGACAAUUUUAUGAUUGAUCUAUUUUAUAUUUUUGCUCCAAAGCUUGAAUUCCUCCUCUGCGGCCGUUUUAAUAUAAUAUGAAAGUUUUCCAGUCGUCGGCUUCAGCCCCCUCGUAGGAAGUACGGGGGUGUUCGAAAAAACAUUUAAUCACUCUUUGUCCAAUGUCUUGGUCCGUAAAGGAGGUGAUAAUGCAGCGAACCAGGCAAUCGGACUAUAAGGCGUUAACACUUUCACUUAGCCAUAGGAGUUUUAUGGUGGGGCUACGACAUUGCCCCUGGUGUGUAUGCGGCGUAUAAUGCCUUGCAUAUUUGAUCUGAAAAAGAUCCCUCGUAUGACACGGAGAAUCGCUAAGGAUUCCAAGAAGUCGUCAAGUGGUUAAUCAGCUCUCGCCGCAUCAUGACAGUCAGUUUUCGGCUUUCUCUACUGAGGUGCUCGUCCGGUUUAGAACAGGGCACAAUCGCAGUAGUUCUCCCUUUACUACCCUAGCCGAUAGAGCGGAACGUAGGGUAGCAAGCACAGGAGCCGGGCAACCCAACUAUUGACCCAAGACAAUGAUUCGGAGCUGAUGCAUAUAAGGCCAAACUUGCGACGCCCAAGUACGCUAUAGAGUUGUUGGGACUUUUGCUGGCAACUCUUUCGUUCCCAUACCGAGCCCCUGGCAGGGUAUGCCGAGGUGUAUCUGUAACGCAGCCAUUGAGGCCGUACUCAUUGUUGCAAGAGUAUGAAAGAUUAGUUCGGACGAGGUUUACUGGGAACGGAGCAAUAUGCCAAUGACGAAUUUAAAAAUAAUAAAAAAGAAACCACAAGCCCGGCUAUUUGACAUGCUCGGGGUCGGGUACAGAGGAAAAAAAGGCUUAAUACAGGCUCGGAAUAAAGAGUGUGGUCUACAAAAAGUUAUUUUGGACCUCCUGUCGCACGUCUGCGCCGCCCGUCCUCGGGGAGGGGAAUCCUUAAGGGAAGUAGCCCCUUAGGUGAGUGUACGGAUCCGAACUCCGAUAGAGUCCGUUGUAGAUGCUGUCAUGUUGGUCACCUGUUCUUAAGAAAUGAUACAGAAAAAUAAGAAAAACGGAUAAGAACGUUACAGGGAUUCUUGCAGGCUUGUCCAUAUUGUGCUUCCGCCGAUGCCCAUGGUAUCUUGAGUGCGUAGUGAUGUAUGCGUGGUGUGAAUCUCGCCGGUAUGGUAGGUGGGUGGCGGAUGCCGAACUGCUAUUUCUGUUCCGAGAGUGGUCGAACUUCGGAGGGAAACUGCUUCUGGCCCCUGAUAUUCGGCUGGCGAAACGCUCCGUUGUCUUUAUCGCCUGGUGGCCUCCUCCCCUUGCUAUCGGCGUUGAGCUUGCCUGCCUGCUUGAGGACCCAACAAUUUCUGUUAGUAUGGUUAGCUGGCUUAUCAGGAUGACCAUGAAUCUGACAAGGUCGGUCCAAUAUUCUGUCAAGGGUGGAUGAUCCAUCCUGGUUUGCCUUUAGUGGCUUCUUCCAUUGACCGGGUUUCGAAUUGUGAAAUUCGGCGUUGACCGCUGUGUCGCGUAAUCCUUCAGUAUUAUUGCGACUGUUGUGUUCGGUUCGUCGAGGCUUACCGUUGCCGUCUUGAAUUUCGGAAGUGCCCGGGUCACUGGCGUUGUUGCUCUUACGAGCGAGCCAGGUGUCUUCUCCCGCACAAAAGCGAGUCAUCAGAGCGGUAAGGGCUAUCAUGGAUUUGGGUCCUUCCUGGCCGAGGUGACGCGCUAGCCAUUCAUCCCGGAUGCCAUGUUUGAAGGCUGCGAGGGCUUCUGCGUCCGGACAGUCGACAAUAUGUUUUUUUUUUUGACUAAGAACCUAGUCCAGAGCUCCCUGGCGGACUCGCCGGGCUUCUGGACAAUAUGACCAAAGUCAUCAGCAUCUAGUGGCCGGACAUAUGUUCCCUGGAAGUUGUCUCGAAAGGCGUCUUCCAAGUCUUCCCAGCUACCAAUAGAAUUUUCUGGUAAACUGUUUAGCCAGUACCGGGCUAGCCCUUUAAGCUUGAGAGGUAUGUAUUUAAUGGCAUGAAGGUCGUCUCCGCGAGCCAUGUGGAUAUAUAUGGAGGAGGUAAUCCUCAAUCCAUACCGCGGGAUCUGUUGUUCCAUCGUAUGAUUCGAUAUUAAUGGGUUUAAACCCGUCUGGAAAUUCAUGCUCCAUUACCUCGUCGGUGAAGCAAAGAGGGUGUGCGGCUCCUCUAUGUUGAGCCACACUAUGAAGCACCUCCGGCGGACUCUGUUUACGGAGUUCGGAUCGAGCGUGGUCGGCUCUGUUGUGUCCGAAUAGGUGACCAUCAUUACGGUCGGGGCAUGUCCCCGCGAUCUGUGUAUUGACUUCGUGUGUCAUGUUCUACCCUCCAGGUCCUUGGAUGUCGCGAGUGUUCCCCCGAGCUGUGUUGUUCUUGUUUUGAUGGCCGGAUGGGUUGGUAUGAUGCUCUGCUUGGGCUACUGCUUUGUCCGGACCGAACUGUGGUCGGCCUACAUCCUUAUUCGAUGGUGGUGUGGGCUUCAACGCCCUGCCAUCGUAUUGAGGGGGCCACCUGCUGUUGGGGUGGCUCUUGUCUGGGCCAAUAAGGCCGUAUUGUUCGGCGGCCAAGACCUCGGUCCAUCUAUCAUUGAGCAAAUCUUGGCUCGCUUUAAGCUGCAGCUGCUUCUUUCUUAGGCUCCUUGCAGUGGCUAUGAGCUGGCGUUUAAAGUGCUCCUGCUCGAGAGGUUCCUUAGGCACGAUAAAAUCCUUGUUGUCGAGGAUCUCCUCUUCCUCGGAGAGUGGGAGAUAAUUGCUAUCCUCUGAGUCUCCAUAUGUUACCUGUUCAUCAGGGUUGUCUUGCCCGCCUUCCUGUUCCUCCUGUUCGGAUCCUACCUCAACAGGGUCUUCAUCGUCCGGAGUGUUGUCUUCUCCGGUGCAAGUGUUAUUUUCUCUUGAGCGUCGUGACUUGGAGCGGCGCAAGGCGCGCCGGUGUUCGGACUAUGCACCAGGAGGCUUAUCCUCAAUUGGAUCCUCCUUGUCAUCGUCGAAAGCAUCGUUGGGUGUGUCUAUCAUACACACGUCAUACCAUGAAGUGGUCAUCCCGCGUCUAGCGGGUAGUGAGUUCUGGCCUUGCCCCUCAUCGUCGUCCGUACCGUCGAUGUCUUCAGGGCCGAGGUCAAGCGUGUUGGUUGGGUCUUCGACAGUGGCUAUGAAGUGGGUGGUGGGUGGGAAGCAAAAUUCUCCAUCAUCAGCCGUAAGUUCGAGCCGAACAUAGUUCAGUGGCGAGUCGCCUACCAGAGAUAGGUUUUUUAGUGAGUUUAGUACAUCGCCCAUGGGCGAGUGUUGGAAGACGUCUGCGGCGCUGAACUUGAAGAUCGAUAACCGAUCGAGUUCGGCAUCUGCAGACUCGCAAGGUUCGGAACCUGUCGCCGGGGACGAAUCCGGGGUUCCGCUGAUGCGGAUAUCAUACGCAGUAGAAUCUGUGUGCGGCUCGAACGCCGCCGAAUCGGUAGCCCUCGUGAUGGGGUUGAGCUUCCCAUCCCGGGACGACUUGAUCUGCUCCGGAUCUAAGGCCAGAGUUGCUGUAGGAGCUAUCUCCUCGAUGCGGCCCAAUGACAGGUUUAAGCCAUGUCCAUCGAGGCGGCGGGAGCGAUUGCCGCGGUCUUGAAUCCGUCGAAGAUCAAGUCUCCACGGACGUCCCCAACGUAGUUCAAGCUUCCGAAUCUGACCUGAUGGCCAGGGGCGUAGCUGUCGAUCUGCUCCAGAUGGCCAAGCGAGUUGGCCCGCAGUACGAUGCCACCGAACACGAAGAUCUGUCCGGGGAAAAAGGUUUCUCCCUGGACAACGUCACCAUCGACGAUUGAAGGGGCCAUCGAACCUUUUGUCGACGGCACAGUGGAACUCUCAAUGAAAGCACCAAUGUCGGUGUCAAAACCGGCGGAUCUCGGGUAGGGGGUCCCGAACUGUGCUUCUAGGAUCGAUGGUAACAGGAGACGGGGGACACGAUGUUUACCCAGGUUCCGGCCCUCUCUAUGGAGGUAAUACCCUACUUCCUGCUCUAUUGAUCUUGAUGAAUAUGAGUGUUACAAGAGUUGAUCUACCACGAGAUCGUAAUGGCUAAACCCUAGAAGUCUAGCCUAUGUGUAUAUGGUAAUGAAUGUCCCCUAUCCGGACUAUGCUCUCCGGUUUAUAUAGACACCGGAGAGAUCUAGAGUUACAUGGAGUCGGUUACAUAAGAAGGAAUCUUCACAGCUGGUCGCCUAGCUUGCCUUCCACGCCAAGGAAAGUCCAAUCCGGACACGGGUGUAGUCUUCGGCCUUCGUAUCUUCACAGCCCAUCAGUCCGGCCCAAUGAAUAACAGGCCGGACGCCCGAGGACCCCUUAGUCCAGGACUCCCUCACUCGGAGACCUUCUUGUGGGGACCAUCUACGAGAGGAAGUAAAGAGGGAGAUCAGAAGAGGAUACAUGAGAGGUUAGGGUGGGGAGGAGGCUGCGCCGGCGAGCGGCCACGGCUCAAGGCGGUCCGGCCGACGAGGAGGACGAACAAGGGAGAGGAAGAUGCAGAUCGGCAAACUGUGGGUUGGGCUUAUGACGUUGGGUUCUCACAAAACUAUAGCCCAUUUCGAAUUUGGUGCCCGUGACGACACACACACAACGCUUAUGUUGGGCCUAAUCACUCACUUCCAGCCCCCAACUCUGAUUUCCCCCUCAAAGAAAAACAAAACUUCAACCCUUCUCACUCCCCAUGAUCACAACAACAACAACAGAAAUAUCUAUAUGCAAGAUCAGGAAAUAUCUAUAAGGGGCAUUCAGAACACAUGUGACCUAAUCGCUAUAACAGCUUGAUAUUAUGGUGGGAUAGACAUAAACUGGUUCACGAAGGAAAGUUUCAUGAUGCAAACCAAAAUUCAAGGGGAGCACGUGCUAUAAUGGCAAACUAUGUUAAUGCCUACUCCCCUAAAGCAACUAGUAAAACAGGGGGAUGGAGUAUCCCUUCUAGGGUUUUUGUGAAGCUGAAUAUUGAUGUAUCUUUUCAUCAUGGUCUGCUUCAGGGUACAUCGGGGGUUAUUCUUAGACAUUACAAAGGCAGGCUCAUUGUCGGUGGAAACUGGAGGAUAGAUUGUCGUGCGGAUGUAUUAGCAGCAGAAGUUGUGGUGCUAAAGUUUGGGUUAUUCCUUGCACAGAAGGCGGAUUGCAAUCGUCUUGUUGUUAACUCGUACAGUACAUAAGUGAUUGACACAAUAAAGAAUGGAUGACACUCGACCGGAGCGGCGGUUGUAGUUUUCUAUGAUUGUUAAUUUUUGGGCUUGUGAUUUUUCUUUUAUUAGAUUUGAACUUUGUAAUAGGGAAGUAAAUAAGAUGGCAAAUGAAAUUGCUAGGCCAGCGAAAUUUUUUGUCACUAGUGAUUGGUUUGAGGAGUGAAUGAGAUUGUGCCUUUUUUAUUGACAAUGUAACAGUUGUUUCUAAUAAAUAAAGUUGAAGUUUUAUUGAAAAGGACAACAACAAGAAAAAAUAUCCUCAUCUUGUCCCAAGGGAUCUGAAACCCCAGUAUCCUUGCAUCUUUCUUUUGCAUGGCAUGUACAUAAGAUUUUCUUUGUUAGUAGCAUGUGUUGUUGGCGGUGGCGGCAUGAUGUUAGAGGUGACAUGUGUGGACGGAUGAUUGUUUCGACUCCAUUUAUUCUUAGGGCCUGUACAAUGCUAGGUGUUCAGCGAAGUGCUUAGAAAAAUAAACUGAGUUUUUAAAGCAUUUUUUAAGCACCGAUGUCUAUUUCUAAUGAUGAGAGACACCUAAUUAGACGUUUACCCUAUACAAAUAAACGUCGAUGCUUUAAGAAAUACUGAUUUAUUUAUCUAACAACCUUUCUUACGCACCUUACAUGGUAAGGUUCGAGAGCUAGUGGCGUCUUGGUUUCUCUUGUUUCUGUCACAUCAAUAUCAUGCUUUGGAUAUAUUCCAGUGCCCUUUUAUUGAUCACUGCCUAUGGCCAUUGAAAUGAGAUCUGGGACUCGGCCAGCUGCAAGAUACCUCUAGAAAGCGAAUUUCCUCUGACGCACAUAUGAAAUAUGACAGUACAAAAUAGAACAAACACUAAGAUUAGACAGAUGAUUGGAUGAUGUAACUAACUUAGACAUCGCUGCACCCAGGACGGACUUUCUUCUCAGACAUCAGAGAGAAACUGAGUGUCCAUGCUGUCAGAGACGCUGGCCAUUGGGCGUUGUCAGUGACUUUAGUCUCGCCUCGGAUAUGGGAGGGGCUAGAACCACCUUAUAAGGAGGAGUGCCACACUCCCUUCAGGCUAGUCUUUUGCGAUGUGGUGGACUCUUUGCUUAUAGUGGUGUGUCUGAUGCACACCGGAAACGUCCGAACAUAUGCCGAAGGUUGGGAGCCGGGCCUGGGACGCUAACAAUUGGUAUCAUAGCUGGGCCCCAGUCUGCCCUGUUUUAGGGGGAUGAGGUGUCAGAGACGCUGGCCAUUGGGCGUUGCCAGUGACUUUAGUCCCACCUCGAAUAUGGGAGGGGGCUAGGACCACCUUAUAAGGAGGAGUGCCACACUUCCUUCAGGCUAGUCUUUUGGGAUGUGAUGGACUCUUUGCUUAUAGUGGUGUGUCCGAUGCGCACCGAAAAUGUUCGAACAUAUGCCAGAGGUUGGGAGCUGGGCCUGGAACGCUAACACAUGCCAACUGCUUCUCCUCCACUCCACCUGCAUAGCACGCAUAGGAGGAAAUUUGAUGAUUAUUUGAAGUGAUAUCCACAUAAAGCACAGAGUUACUCAGCUAGCAAAGCACCUAUGUACAUCACUGUAUGGCUACCCAACUGAAAAUUCUGCUUCCUGACCCUCCUGAUUCAUGCGGGUGGCAUGGAGAUGGGUACGCCUCUCGAAUCCAUGUGAAUCGAAUCGUUGGAACAGAUGGACGGACAGGGUCGAUACCUUGUGUAGAUGGGGAGGGGAGGCCGGAGUGGCUGCCGUCGACCGACGUACGGCCCGCAGCCGACGGAGGAGCUUCAAAAGUGACCUUUUUGUCGAGCGAUGGCGGUGGUGGUGGGGUGCCGGAUGCGGAGGGUGGUGGGAAGCCGGAUGCGGAGGGUGGAAGGAAGGCUGACGCCUCCGUCGCCGCGGACGUACGAGGAGCGGCCGCGAGCGGUGGGGUCCGGGAGAGGCUGCGCCGGCGAGCGGUCCGGCCGGCGAGGAGGACGGGGAAGGGGAGACGAAGACGACGCAGAUCGGCGGAGUGUGGGCUGGGCUUGUGACGUUGGGGCCUCCGAAAACUAUAUCCCAGUUCGAAUUUGGUGCCCUAACACACAACUCUUACGUUGGGCCUAAUCACUCCCUCCUGGCUCCAUCUAUCAUUCCCCAAAAAAAAUCCUUCACACAUAGAUGGAACUGAUGAUUCUCAAAAGAAAAAGAGAUGGAACUGAUUGUGUCAUGUCUUAAAAAAAAGAUCGAACUGAUUGUCUAAAAAAAACAUAGAUGGAACUGAUGAUUUAUCUCCGAAAAAAAGAUGGAACUGAUGAUGACGUGUCUAGAGUUAGGACCGGAUAUAUGUUAGUAGGAGUAGCUUGUAAGAAAUUACCAUCCUUUACAUAUAACGGGAAUUCGAUGAGUCAUGUCAUGCUCUAGAGGCGUCAGUUCAUCUUAUCAUCUUAGAGGAAACUACAAAGUUAUUUUUAUGAAAAGCAACCAACUCUAGAAGAACCCUCCACACGCAAGGCUUUAAUAAUCGAGCAUAUCUUAACAGCCCACACACGAUUGCAAACUUAGUCCUACACAAGCUUUGCCUUUCUUCUUUACGGCUGACAGCCUAUACAAGGUUUCAAACUCGGUUGCAAAAGUGAUACUAUCCUGAUAAGUGUGUGACAUGUAAAGUGAAUAAGGUGAGUCAUAUAUAGCAAACAUCGGGGUUUCUGUACUUUGUGUGUGAUCAUAUGCACAAUUAAAAAGCAACUUUGAUGAUCAAUCCAAAAGUACGCGUGUAGCUAGUGCAACCUAACGCAUUGUACCAAAAAUCAUUUCAGAUGCAUCCAAACGGAAUAAUUAAAGCUAAUGCAAAGAAGAAAAGAGGUGGUGCCCAGGCUACUAUAAAUAGGCAUGAAGUAUAAAGAUCAUCACAAGCACAAGCAUCAAAACCAAGCAACACUAGUUAACACUAAUCCACCAUGAAGACCUUCCUCAUCUUUGCCCUCCUCGCCGUUGCGGCAACAAGUGCCAUUGCACAAAUGGAGAAUAGCCACAUCCCUGGUUUGGAGAAACCAUCGCAGCAACAACCAUUACCACUGCAACAAACAUUAUCGCACCAACAACAACAACAACCUGUCCAACAACAACCACAACCAUUUCCACAACAGCAACCAUGUUCACAGCAACAACAACCACCAUUAUCGCAGCAACAACAACCACCAUUUUCACAACAACAACCACCAUUUUCGCAGCAACAACAACCAUCAUUUUCGCAGCAACAACAACCACCAUUUUCACAGCAACAACCACCAUUUUCGCAGCAACAACAACCAGUUCUACCGCAACAACCAUCAUUUUCGCAGCAACAACUACCACCAUUUUCACAGCAACAACCACCGUUUUCGCAACAACAACAACCAGUACUACCGCAACAACCACCAUUUUCGCAACAACAACAACCAAUUCUACCGCAACAACCACCAUUUUCGCAACAACAACAACAACCAGUUCUACCGCAACAACAAAUACUAUUUGUUCAUCCAUCUAUCUUGCAGCAGCUAAACCCAUGCAAGGUAUUCCUCCAGCAGCAAUGCAGCCCUGUGGCAAUGCCACAAAGUCUUGCUAGGUCGCAAAUGUUGCAGCAGAGCAGUUGCCAUGUGAUGCAACAACAAUGUUGCCAGCAGUUGCUGCAAAUCCCCCAGCAAUCCCGCUAUGAGGCAAUCCGUGCUAUCAUCUACUCCAUCAUCCUGCAAGAACAACAACAGGUUCAGGGUUCCAUCCAAACUCAGCAGCAGCAACCCCAAGAGUUGGGCCAAUGUGUUUCCCAACCCCAACAGCAGUCGCAGCAGCAACUCGGGCAACAACCUCAACAACAACAAUUGGCACAGGGUACCUUUUUGCAGCCACACCAGAUAGCUCAGCUUGAGGUGAUGACUUCCAUUGCGCUCCGUACCCUACCAACGAUGUGCCGUGUCAAUGUGCCGUUGUAUAGAACCACCACUAGUGUGCCAUUCGGCGUUGGCGCCGGAGUUGGUGCCUACUGAUAAGGAAAGGUCUCUAGUAAUAUAUAGUUGGAUCACCGUUGUUUAGUCGAUGGAUAUGUCGAUGCAGCGGUGACAAAUAAAGUGUCACACAACGUCGUGUGUGACCCGCCCAAACUAGUUGUUUAAAUUCUGAAAUAAAAUACAAAUAAAGUUGUAUCAAGACAAUGUUCAUAUUGGCAUUGUGUGGAUGUCCAUAUGAUUGCCAUGCUUGCAAGUUCAUAAGUUUGUCUUUCCUGGUCACAAGCGCAACCUGGUGCCUUAAUUAAUUAUGCAUGUAUUGGAAUAAUUACUAUUUAAAUAUAAUAGUGUUACUGUAAAAUUUGGGUUGAACUCUUUAUCGGUUGGAGAUUUGAGAUCUUGUUUUUUAUUGGUUUGUAUCUAGUUCCAACUACUACCAUUGUCUAUAGUGACAAUCACAACCAGUUUUAUCGUUAAUCAUGUUUGCUUUCU